This 62921-nucleotide long non-coding RNA is filed under the name Vitis vinifera (wine grape). RNAcentral's name for it is "long non-coding RNA (VVIN_LNC006323)". Lineage: Eukaryota; Viridiplantae; Streptophyta; Magnoliopsida; Vitales; Vitaceae. The record is from RNAcentral.
GAUUUCUCCUUGCAUUAGCUUUGACCCAUGUAGAAUUAGCUUCUCUAAGGAGCAUAAACCUGACAAAGAAAGCAAUUGGCAACAUGUUGAAUUUAAGCCACAAGCACGGAGAUGCUUCAAGCUUUGCAGCCUCCCCAGGUUUUGUGGCAAUUUGUGGAGUUUUGAACAGUAACCGACAUCGAGAACUUCAAGAAAGCAUAAAUCACAAAUGCUUUCUGGAAGAGUCACAAGGUUUUUGCAGCCGUUCAGAUUCAAAACUUCAAGCCUAUUCAAAUGUUUGAUUGAUGAUGGGAGCUCUUUUAUAGCCGUUUUGUUCAAAUGAAGCACCCUUAAGUUUUCCAUAUUCUCCAAGAUUUCUGGAAAGUACUGUAAUUGUGAACAGUGAGAGCAAAAGAGAGAUUUUAGGGAUUUGAACUCCCAAAUGCUUGUUGGCAGACUCUCAAGGUUUUUGCACUCUCGCAAACAUAAGGUAUCAAAUUCAGAGGCACGCUCAAUGGGUAGUAGGCUUAUUGUCUGACCCUUUAAACAAAGCUUUCGGUGUUCCACGUUCCUCUGACAUUCCAAGCAGCUAGCAUCCACAUCCCCAGUCUGUACUAUUGGAUCUUGGGCGUAUAUAGGUUGGAGCCCACACUUAAGCACCUUAAAAUGAUUGCCAGAGUCCUUAAAUAGAGCCCCAAGAAACAUGAAUGGAUUGGUGUGACAGCUCUCCAGAAUAGCAGCCUUGGGAUAGAAUAUCACCCACAUUUGUUCUGAUACACCUCCAUCGUGGUAGCAUUUACAAGUAGUGCGAAAACUGAGAUGUCGCACACACAUGGAAGAAAAUUUAUUUCUAUCAUACAAUGACAAUUGACAUUCUAACUCAGUGGAGAUUGAAGAUUCAGCUUCAAGUAAAUCAUCAGAUUCAUUCAGGGCUUCGUCGCCAGAUUCAUUCUCCGAUGCAUGUGCAAAAUCAUUUUCACAUUCAUCGAGUGGAGCAUAAACGAAGCAUAUAGCAAUUCCCAAGAAGUCAUCAUUUUCAUAACAAUUCUGAGGAAGCUCUAUUGUGAUGUGAUGUCUUUCUCUCUGAUUCCUUAUCCAUUUGGGAAUUCCAUUGCUUCCCGGAACAACAAUACAGACUCCAUCGCCAAUGUAGUUGGAAUUAGCGAGAAAUACUCCAUUUGAACUCUUCUUGUGUUUCAAAUCCUGCACAAAUGGACAAUGUAAAUCUAGUGAGUCUGUGUCAUUAUGUGAGUUUUUAUGAGAGAGUUUGUUAUCAAUUUUCGAUAAAUUGAUUCCCAGUUUUAACUUUCUUUGAUCUAUGCUCCUGAAUCUACUUAAUAUCCCUUUUAGAUGACGGAUAUGUUAGAAUUCAUGAGAGUUUGUCUUUGAAAAUGUCUUAGUUAGACUCAGUCUCUGUUUUGCUCCAUAAUUUUCAGUUUUUCUGUUAGUAGAAGUAGUUAUAGCAGCUGAGAGUUUUUAGCAUUUUCAGUUUGGUUGUAAGCCUAUAAAUAGGCAUUCUCAUUGGUGAAAUAUUGUCUCUUUCUCCAACUCAAUACUCUAAUAUUUUCUGCAAGUUUUAGUUCCUUAUUUUUCUCUAGAUUUUAACCGUGGUAUCAGAGCAUUAUUCCUACGGGCUGUGAGGCAAAGUUUUUUUUAGUAUUAAACACAGUGAGGUUGAGUGCAAACACUAGUGAGGUUGAGUGAUCUAUUUUUUUUUAAGCAACUGUGGUGCAAACAUGUCUCCUUCUAGCAAUACUUCCUCUGUAAUUCUAGUGUUUAAUGGUGAACACUAUCACAUUUGGGCUGUCAAGAUGAGGUUUUAUUUAAGGUCUCAAGGUUUGUGGAAUGUUGUGAUGUUUGAAGCUGAUCCACCACCAUUGGGAGCAAAUCCUAUAGUUGCUCAGAUGAAAGCAUAUGACGAAGAAAAACUAAAGAAAGACAAAGCCAUCACCUGCCUACAUUCAGGACUUGCAGACCACAUCUUCACCAAAAUCAUGAACUUGGAAACACCUAAACUGGUAUGGGACAAGCUCCAAGGUGAAUUUGAGGGCAGUGAAAGAGUCAAAACUGUUAGACUCUUCACAUUGAAGAGAGAGUUUGAGUUGAUGAAGAUGAAAGACGACGAAUCUAUCAAAGAUUAUUCUGGCAGGUUAAUGGAUGUUGUAAACCAAAUGCGGCUUCUUGGUGAGGCAUUUACAGAUCAAAAGGUGGUAGAAAAGAUCAUGGUUUCAAUGCCUCAAAAGUUUGAAGCCAAGAUUUCUGCAAUUGAAGAGUCUUGUGACUUGCAAACUCUCACAAUUGUAGAGUUAACUAGCAAGCUUCAUGCACAGGAGCAAAGGGUCUUAAUGAGAGGUGAUGAAGCUACUGAAGGUGCUUUUCAAGCAAAUCACAAGGGAAAGAAUUCUGGAAACUUGCAAGGAAAGAAGUUCUUCAAGAACAACAAAGGGAAAGCUGAAGGGUCUUCAAGAAAAGGAAAAUUUCCGUCUUGCUCUCAUUGUAGAAGAACCAACCAUGCUAAGAAAGAUUGUUGGCACAAAGGUAAACCUCUCUUUAAUUGUAAUUUCUGCAAUAAACUUGGCCACAGUGAGAAGUAUUGCAGAGCCAAGAAAAAACAAUCUCAACAACAACCAGAACAAAAUGCAAGUGUGACUGAAGAAGACAAAAAUGAUGAUGAGCAUUUAUUUAUGGCAUCACAAGCACUCAGUUCUCAUGAACUGAAUACUUGGCUCAUUGAAAGUGGCUGCACGAGUCACAUGACCAAAUAUCUGUCAAUAUUUACCUCCAUUGAUAGAUCAAUUCAACCAAAGGUCAAGUUGGGAAAUGGUGAAGUUGUGCAGGCCAAAGGAAAAGGGACAAUUGCUAUCAUCACCAAGAGAGGUACAAAAAUUGUCACUAAUGUUCUUUACAUUCCAGAUUUAGAUCAGAAUCUUCUUAGUGUUGCACAAAUGCUAAGAAAUGGAUAUGCAGUCUCUUUCAAAGAAAAUUUUUGUUUUAUCACUAAUGUACACGGAAAAGAGAUAGAAAAAAUUAAAAUGAAUGGAAAUAGCUUUUAUUUGAAGCUUGAUUUAGUUGAAGGUCAUGUCUUUAGUGCCAAGAUUGAUGAGAGUGUUGUUUAGCACAAAAGAUAUGGUCAUUUCAAUUUGAAGUCACUGAGGUUCAUGCAAGAAGCUGGUAUGGUUGAAGACAUGCCUGAAAUCUCAGUUAAUGCUCAAACUUAUGAAAGUUGUGAGCUAGGGAAGCAACAACAACAACCAUUCCCUCAAAAUAUGUCCAAGAGAGCUACUCACAAGCUGGAAUUAAUUCAUUCAGAUAUUUGUGGACCAAUGAGCAUAGCCUCAUUGAGCAACAAUGUGUAUUUUGCAUUAUUUAUUGAUGAUCUCAAUAGAAUGACUUGGGUUUAUUUUCUAAAAACCAAGUCACAAGUGCUCUCUGUGUUCAAAAGCUUCAAGAAAAUGGUUGAAACUCAAAGUGGCCAGAACGUUAAGGUGCUCAGAACUGAUAAUGGAGGUGAGUAUAUCUCAAAAGAGUUCAAUGUCUUUUGUCAAGAAGCUGGAAUUGUACACCAGCUAACAGCUCCAUACUCACCACAGCAGAAUGGAGUCUCUGAGAGGAAGAACAUAACCGUGAUGGAGAUGGCAAGGUGCAUGCUAUUUGAGAAGAAGCUACCAAAACUUCUAUGGGCUGAAGCAAUCAACACCUCAGUAUAUUUGCUUAACAGACUACCAACUAAGUCUGUUCAGAGCAAAACACCAAUAGAGGCAUGGUCUGGUGUAAAACCUUCUGUCAAGCACCUGAAAGUUUUUGGCUCAUUUUGUUAUCUUCAUGUGCCAUUUGUCAAGAGAGGGAAGCUUGAUGAAAGAGCUGAGAAAGGUGUUUUUGUUGGGUAUGUAGUUGAAUCAAAAGGUUACAGAAUUUAUAGCUUGAGUAAAAUGAAAAUUGUGAUAAGUAGAGAUGUGCACUUUGAUGAAAACUCCUACUGGAAUUGGGACUUGAAGAAAGUUCAUAAAUGUGAUCAAACCACUCCAUCUAUUCUUGAACCAGCAAUAGAAAGUACAAUCAUUGAAGGUCCACUUGAUGUUGAAGCAACUUCAGACACACCCGUGCUUAAGAUGAGGCCAUUAUCUGAUGUGUAUGAGAGGUGCAAUCUUGUACAUGCUGAGCUUACAUGUUACAUGGAAGCUGCAAGAUUUCUAUAAGGCUACUACUUGCACUUGCUGGUCAAAUGGGAUGGAAAGUGUACCAUUUAGAUGUCAAGUCAGCUUUUCUAAAUGGUAUACUUCUUGAAGAAAUUUAUGUUCAACAACCAGAAGGCUUUGAGGUUAUUGGCCAUGAACGUAAAGUGUACAAGCUACAUAAGGCUCUCUAUGGUUUGAAGCAAGCACCAAGGGCCUGGUAUAGCAGAAUUGAUUCUCAUCUGAUCCAACUUGGAUUUAGGAGGAGUGAAUAUGAAGCUACUUUGUAUUUGAAACAAAAUGAUGAUGGUUUGCAACUGGUAGUAUCACUUUAUGUUGAUGACAUGCUAGUGAUUGGAAGCAAUGUAAAAUUGCUAGCUGAUUUCAAAAUGGAAAUGCAGGAUGUAUUUGAGAUGUCUGACCUUGGCAUCAUGAACUACUUCCUUGGAAUGGAAAUAUACCAAUGCAGCUGGGGUAUCUUCAUUUCACAAAGAAAAUAUGCUAUGGAUAUUCUCAAGAAAUUCAAGCUAGAAUCAUGCAAAGAAGUAGCAACUCCACUGGCACAAAAUGAGAAAAUUUCAAAGAAUGAUGGUGAGAAACUUGAGGAACCCUCUGCAUAUAGAAGCUUGGUGGGCAGCCUACUAUACUUGAUAGUAACCAGACCUGACUUGAUGUUUCCAGCUAGUUUGCUUUCAAGGUUCUUGAGUUCACCUAGAAAUGUUCACAUGGGAGUUGCAAAGAGGGUGCUAAAGUAUGUUAAAGGUACAACAAACCUUGGCAUUUGGUAUUUAAAGACAGGAGGAGUUAAGCUAGAUGGUUAUGCUGAUAGUGAUUGGGUAGGAAGUGUUGAUUAUAUGAAGAGCACUUCAGGUUAUGUAUUUACAAUCGGUUCAGGUGUCAUAUGCUGGAAUUCAAGAAAGCAAGAAGUAGUGGCACAAUCAACUACAGAAGCUGAGUAUAUCUCCUUAGCAGCUGCUGCAAAUCAAGCAAUAUGGUUGAGAAAAUUGCUUGCUGAUUUAGGCCAGGAACAAAGCUCACCAACUGAGCUUUGCUGUGACAAUAAGUCAGCCAUUUCCAUUACUCAAAAUUCUGUCCAACAUGGCAGAACCAAGCACAUAAAUGUAAAAUUCCACUCCAUUAGGGAAGCUGGAAAGAAUUCACUUGUUAAGCUGCAUUAUUACUCAACUGAUGAGCAACUUGCUGACAUAAUGACUAAAGGACUUCCUAAAUCAAGGCUGGAGUUCCUAAGGUUGAAGCUUGGUAUGCCCAAGGCAAAUCUCAAGGAGGAGUGUUAGAAUUCAUGAGAGUUUGCCUUUGAAAAUGUCUUAGUUAGACUCAGUCUCUGUUUUGCUCCGUAAUUUUCAGUUUUUCUGUUAGUAGAAGUAGUCAUAGCAGUUGAGAGUUUUUAGCAUUUUCAGUUUGGUUGUAAGCCUAUAAAUAGGCAUUCUCAUUGGUGAAAUAUUGUGUGCCUUUCUCCAACUCAAUACUCUAAUAUUUUUUGCAAGUUUUAGUUCCUUAUUUUUCUCCAGAUUUUAACAGGAUAAUCAAUCAACAUGAAAGUGAGUGACAAGAUUAAGUGUGGAAACUGGAAGUGAGUAGAAUAAGCAGAUCUCUUCUUCACUUGCAGUAACUUCUUCUCCAUUCAGAUUCAGAGAUCUUAGAAUUGUAGCUUCAACUUAACUCUCAGAAUCUUAAAGACAAAGUUUGCUCAAGUUUCAAAAACUCACAGAAAAAUUUCUCCACCUGUUUCUCUUAAUCCCAUGAGGCGAGAGACAUGAAGCACACACUUAUUGGCUUUUUUCCAUGCAAGUUUCAAGGUGGAGCAUCAAAUGAACUAAAACAUUCCCUCAAAUCCUAGUGGAAAUUCACACUAGAAAUUUCAGAAUUUGCUAAAGAAAAGUUUAAUUCAUUUUCUCCAUGAAUAAAAAAGCAUGUGAGGGCAUUUUAACUUCCUAAUAAUUAUUAUAGUAAACUAUAAUUCUCAUUAUUUAAACUCAUGAUCCUUAAUUUUAUCAUCACAUUUUGAAAAGACUUUCGUCAUCCCUUCCAUGAAUUAAUUGAUGUUUAAGGAGGUAUAAUAAACUUUUAAUUGAAUUUAACAUUAUUUCUAUUCUUAGACUCAUCUUAAACUCUUAUUUUUUUAUACUCUUAUCAAAACAAAAAAAAACUUAACAAAAAAAAAAAGAUUUCAAUUACUCCGUGUUCAUAAGGAAAAAUGGCUGAAUGUUAUGAAAAUCAUACCUCAAUUGUUGAUUUAAAGCAUUUGAACAGAGAAACACCAAGUAGACUCGAUGGACUUGAUAAAGAUUCCAAACAUGUGCAACUGUGGACAUCUAGAACUCGUAAACUUGGUGGAAGCUCUGGAACUUGUAGAAGCCCCUGGCAGUGACUCAAUUCAAGGACUCUCAGUUUAGAAAGUUGAAUGAUGCCUGCAAGUAUGCUACUAAAACAGUCCAUGCUUAGAUUUAGACCUGAAGCGUGCAAACCCUCUAAACAUUGCAAACUCCUCAGGUUCUCGGGAAAUUUCUCAAGUUUUGUACAGAAACUGACAUUUAGAAUUUUGAGAGAACUCAAAUUACAAAUGCUUUCUGGAAGACUCACAAGGUUGGUGCAUUCUGCAAGAUUCAAAUAUUGAAGCCCUCUUAAAUAUUGAAUUGAUGUUGGUAGUUCUUCUAUAGCAGUUCCAUCUAAAUGAAGCUCUCUUAAAUUUUCCACAUCCUCAAUGAUUUCCGGAAAGCUCCUUAAUCGUAAACAGCCUGAGCAGAAGAGAGUUGUAAGGGAUUUCAACUCACAAAUGCUACUGGGAAGACGCUCAAGGUUUUUGCAUUCUCGCAAACAUAAGCUAUUAAGUUUAGGGGGACACUCAAUAGUGGGCAGUUCAUUGAUGGCAUUUCCCUUUAAACAAAGCUUCCGUCGGGAUUGCACAUCCUCUUGACAUUCCCGGCAAAUGGUGGGUAUCAUUGCUUUACCAUUGUUCUUUUCAUGAUCAUGGGCAUAUAUAAGAUGGAUCCCACACUCUUCCACUUUCAUUGCUUUACCACGUGAGAAGCCACAAAAUGAAGCUGUCAACUGCCUCCAUUUAUUUGAGGGGUACUUCUUCACAAUCUCCACCUUCGGAUAAUAAGUCAUCCACAUUUUUCGUAGAACAUCAUAGCAUUGACACGAGGGAUAAAACGAGAGUUUAUCCACAAACUGAAUUUUAUGACCACACAAAGUCAAACCAUACUCGAAGUAAGUUGCUUCAUUCUCCAGUGUCUCCUCAGAUUCAUUAUCAAGUGGAUCAUAGAGAGAGUACAAAACAAAACCCAACAAGUCGUUAUUUUUAUACCAAUUUUGAGGAAGCUUUGCUACUACUUUAGCUCCCUUUUUGCGAUGGCUUAUCCAUUUUGGCAUUCCACAACUUACUGAAAUAAUAAGAUUUACUCGGGUAAAACGUUUUUCUCUAGGAUAAAUCUCGCAUUCAAAAUCCUGCACGAAAUUUAAUCAACACGUAAAUCCCUAUGUCUCCACAAAAAAAGUUUUGUUCUAUGAAUAUCAUACCUGAAUCACUGAUUUGAAGCAGUUGAAUAGAGAAGACCAGAGUAGACCUGAAGAAGUUUCCAGCCGUGUGCACUCAUGUACAUCUAAGACACGCAAACUGGAUGGAAGCGCUGGAAUUUGUCGAAGCUCUUGACAGUGACCCAAGUCAAGGAGUCUCAGCAUAGAAAGUUGAUUGACCCCAGCAGGUAUGCUCCUAAAAAGAUUCCCGAAUAGCAGUAAUUGUCGCAGAGACGAUAGGUGGCAAAUUUCGGUGGGGAUUCCUCCUUCAUCUAUACUGCAGAAAGAUAGAUCUAACGCUUUCAACGAGUACAAGCAGCAAAUAUCACUCAGGAUUUCUCCUUGCAUUAGCUUUGACCCAUGUAGAAUUAACUUCUCUAAGGAGCAUAAACCUGACAAAGAAAGCAAUUGGCAACAUGUUGAAUUUAAGCCACAAGCAUGGAGAUGCUUCAAGCUUUGCAGCCUCCCCAGGUUUUGUGGCAAUUUGUGGAGUUUUGAACAGUAACUGACAUCGAGAACUUCAAGAAAGCAUAAAUUAGAAAUGCUUUCUGGAAGAGUCACAAGGUUUUUGCAGCCAUCCAGAUUCAAAACUUCAAGCCUAUUCAAAUGUUCGAUUGAUGAUGGUAGCUCUUUUAUAGCCGUUUCAUUCAAGUGAAGCUCCCUUAAGUUUUCUAUAUUCUCCAAGACUUCUGGAAAGUAUUGUAAUUGUGAACAGUGAGAGCAAAAGAGAGAUUUAAGGGAUUUGAACUCCCAAAUGCUUGUUGGCAGACUCUCAAGGUUUUUGCACUCUCGCAAACAUAAGGUAUCAAAUUCAGAGGCACGCUCAAUGGGUAGUAGGCUGAUUGUCUGACCCUUUAAACAAAGCCGUCGGUGUUCCACGUUCCUCUGACAUUCCAAGCAGCUAGCAUCCACAUCCCCAGUCUGUACUAUUGGAUCUUGGGCGUAUAUAGGUUGGAGCCCACACUUGACCACCUUAAAAUGAUUGCGAGAGCCCAUAAAUAGAGCCUCAAGACACAUGAAUCGAUUGGUGUGACAGCUCUCCAGAAUAGCAGCCUUGGGAUAGAAUAUCACCCACAUUUGUUCUGAUACACCUCCAUUAUGGUAGCAUUUACAAGCAGUGCGAAAACUGAGAUGUCGCACACGUAGGGAAGAAAAUCCAUGUACUUCACUCAAUGACAAUUGACAUUUUAACUCAGUGGAGAUUGAAGAUUCAGCUUCAAGUAAAUCAUCAUAUUCAUUUAGGGCUUCGUCACCAGAUUCAUUCUCGGAUGUAUGUGCCAAAUCAUUUUCUGGUAUGUCCUCACAUUCAUCAAGUGGAGCAUAAACAAAGCAUAUAGCAAUUCCCAAGAAGUCAUCAUUUUCAUUACAAUUCAGAGGAAGCUCCAUUGUGGUCUGAUAUCCCUCUCUCUGAUUCCUUAUCCACUUGGGAAUUCCACUGCUUCCCGGAACAACAAUACAGAUUCCAUGGUCAUUGUAGUGAGAAUCAGCGAGAAAUACUCCAUUUGAAUUGCUCUCGUGUUUCAAAUCCUGCACAAAAGGUCAAUGAAAAUCCAGUGGGUCUGCCAUUAUGUGAGUUUUUAUGAGAGAGUUUGUUAUCAGUUUUCGAUAAAUUGAUUCCCAGUAUUAACUUUCUUUGAUCUAUGCUCCUGAAUCUACUUAAUAUCCCUUUUAGAUGACGGAUAAUCAAUCAACAUGAAAGUGAAUGCCAAGAUUAAGUCUGGAAACUGGAAGUGAGUGGAAACUGAAACCGAAAGUGAGUAGAAUAAGCAGAUCUCUUCUUCACUUGCAGUAGCUUCUUCUCCAUACAGAUUCAUAGAUCUUAGAAUUGUAGCUUCAACUUAACUCUCAAAAUCUUGAAGACAAAGUUCGCUCAAGUUUUAAAAACUCACAGAAAAAUUUCUCCUCAUGUUUCUCUUAAUCCCAUGAGGUGAGAUACAUGUAGCACACACUUAUUGGCUUUUUUCCAUGCAAGUUUCAAGGUGGAGCGUCUAAUGAACUAAAACAUUCCCUCAAAUCCUAGUGGAAAUUCACACUAGAAAUUUCAGAAUUUGCUAAAGAAAGGUUAAUUCAUUUUAUCCAUGAAUAAAAAAAGCAUGUGAGGACAUUUUAACUUCCUAAUAAUUAUUAUAUUAAACUAUAAUUCUCAUUAUUUAAACUUAUGAUCCUUAACUUUAUCAUCACAAUUUGAAGAGACAUUCGUCAUCUCUUCCAUGAAUUAAUUGAUGUUUAAGGAGGUAUAAUAAACUUUUAAUUGAAUUUAUAAACUAUUAUUAUUUUUUUAUACUCUUAUCAAAAUAAAUAAAAACUUAACAAAAAAAAAAAAAAUCAAAACAAACUUUGUAAAGUUAUCAACACUUAUUUACAUCCUUCUUUUUUUUUAAAAAAAAAUUAUAAUUAAAAAAAAUGUAAUUUAAAAAUUAUAAAGAAUAAAAUAUUUAGAAAAAUGUACUAGUUAUUUGAAAUAAAAUAUAAGGGAAAUCAAAAUUCUUAGUAAAUGAAUCGUCAAAACAACUAUAAUAGCUAUACAAAUGAGAAAAAAAAAUUAAAAGUAAAAAAAAAUUAUGAAUGUCAAGAAUGAGAAACAAUUUUUUUCUUUUUUUUUUUUGUAAAUUAUUUUUAUUCUUAUUUUAUGUAUUCAUUACAAUUUUUAAAUUAAUAAAUAAAGUUUUUAUCACAAAAUUUUAAAAUGGUAUGUAUGCUUUAAAAUUUAUAUGUUGUUCUUAGAUUUUUAUAAAUUUCGUUUAUAUCUUUCAAAUUAGAAUUAUUAAACUCACAUUUUAAAAUAAGAUAUCAAAUAGUUAUUUUUUCAUCCUUUAGCAAUAUCAAAUGUUUUUUGUACUUUAAUAAAAAAAAACUAUUUUUCUCUAAUUAAUGACUAUUUUGUAUAGUAUUUGGAUAAAUUAUUUAAUAUAUAAGUAUUACUUAUUUAAUAGUUUAUUUUUUUAAUUUAUUAGAGAAAGAGUGGUGCAUAUAUAAUUCAAAUAAAAGGUAAUUUCGUAUUGCAAGAAAGUUUGUGGAAAAAGGAAAUUUGAACAAGGAUUGAAAUUUAUAGGAACCAUAUUGGACACCUAGUUUUAGGUUUGUUCCAUUCGAACAAUCAUGACUUGAUAGUAGCCUAAUCUCAAAUCUAACUUUGUCAAGCCCUUCCUUUACUAAGUUGAUCAAACAAGUUGUUAACAAGCAGAAUAAGAUAUUUUUCACUUUCACCUUGUUGAGUCUUCAAUAAUCGAUACACAUUCAGAGGGAUCCAUUAUGUUUCUUUUAGAAUAAUAUUGGUGUGACAUGUGAAGCUUUAGUUUGUUGGAUGUAUCCCAUGUUAAGCAACUCUGUAAGUUGUUUCCUUAGUUCUUCUAAAUUAGGCAGUGCCAUCCUAUGGGACCCCUAUGGCAAGGGGCUUAGCUUCUGGCUCUAAGUCAAUUUUGUGCUCCCAUUCCCUUAUUUAUGUGAGUUUCUUAUGUAACUUUAAUAGCAUCUAAGGAUGGCAAAGUUUGAUACAAUUUGUCAACCAGACUUGAACCUGAGGCAUUUUUAGUGGGUUUGGGUUGAGUAUAAUCAUGUUUAGGUCAAAUUUGUGUAAACCUAAAUAACUUGUUUAAUAAAUAGGUUGUUUUUUUUAGUCAAACUACAUAAUACAAAUUUCACCUAAAUUGAGUUGUGUAAUAAUGAUGUUAAUUAACUAGAUUAUAACCAUAACCUAUUUAACCCACAUUUGACUCAUUUAAAACUUGAUUUUGAAUAAGUAGGUUAAUUAAGUCAUAAACAUGUCAGAUUGGGAAGUUAAUCAUAUUAACUUAAACAAGAUCUAACUUGACAUUAUUAUUAAAUAGGACAUUAUUAUUAAAUGGACUAUAUGACAUGUUACUUAUUUAAUAAUUAGGUUAUGCCCGAGUUCAUUCUUUUAACCUAAUUAUUAUUUUUGUGUCAUGUUUGAAUUGAUUUAUUUAAUCAAGUGUCUUUGCUUUGACACAUUGUGAACAUGAUCCACCAACAUGAAUUGUCACUUCUAGUGGCAUCACAUACUAGAACUCUUCAAGUACCACCUCAAUUACCUUGUGAAUGAGUUCCCUUAUUGUAUCAUUCUUUUCCUCCUUUAAUAUAGCCAAGUAGGUCAUUUGCUUAUUCUUCAAUACCUUCUUUACUUGCAUAGUUGAUAGCAAGAGGAUCUCAAGUGUACCUCAAUAGCUAAUGUCAUGAUUCAUUGUAAAUUUUGUCUAAUGUGUAAUCAUAUAUACAAAUGCACUCACCUUAAAAACCUCAUCCCAAUGACUAAGACAAGUCAUCCCUCCAAUUAGAAGGUAGUGUAUUAUAAUCUCAAAUGGAUUGUCUAAAUCCAUCAACCAACCAUGAACAAAUCAUAAAUCUUGCAAGGAACCCAUGACUUAAAUCUUCCGCGUAACUCCUAAUGCAUUUUAGUCAUGUACAAUACCACUAAUGCAUGCAUGCAUACUCAAAUCAAUAUCAAUGUGAACAAAGAUAAAUUAGUGGAAACUCAAGCCUAAAUUUGUUACAUCAUGUCUUGCUUGCAAGGGCUAUAUUUUAACACAAAUAACCAAAUAGGUUCUUGAAAUACAAUAUAAUAUGUGCUAUCUCUCAGAGCACUUUAUUUUUUGUUUCAAUAACUUCAUUUUUCUAUGAAGUUUUAGAUGUUGAAAGCUCUUCUUUAAUUUCCUUCUCCUCACAAAAACUCUAGAAGUCAGAAUUAUAAACUCCUUUCCUCUAUUAUUUCUUAUUGAAAAUCCAUUUUUAUUCAUCAUUUGAAAGCAUAACACUUUGAAUCUUAGGAUGUACUUCUUUCUUCCUAGGCAUUGCACUCUCAUAGGACCCAUUAAAUCCACAUGCAACAUCUUUAAGAUCCUAGAAGAAGAGAAAAUCGUCUUUUUCUCUCACUCAUCUGAAUUCAUUUUCCUAGAUAGAAUAAAUAGGAUUUUUAGGCUUUCCUAAAUGGGACUUGCUUUAAUUAGUUCUUUAUUUGUAAUCCUAGACAAAUCAUUAGAGUUUAAAUGCACUAUCAUAUAAUGCUAUAUGUCUUUGGAUGUAAAUUUCACAUUUUACAACUAUGUGCACUAGAUGAUGAGGAAGAAGUAGAGAGGCGUACAAAGGCAUAACAAACAAUAUAAAAAAUUCUAUUUCUUACCAACACACAUCCUUGAAUAGACACUAAUUUUGAGUAAAAUGAACAAAGCACAUACAAUCACAAAUUUAACUUGCGUUAAUUAAGUUUGCUUUCAAUCCCUCAAUAUAUAGUAACUCCUUGAGCAUAGGUAAAUUUGGACCUUCUAUGGUACCUUUUGGUUUCAAGUUGGUUAUAUGUAAUCCAACCAUCCCCAAAUACAACCAAACUUCCCUUUAUAGGUUCAAACGUGGAGAAAGACUCUAAGUUCAUUGUUGCUUUUACCUUUCCCAAAUACAACCAACUCCUUCUAUGAGUCCAAAAGUCAAGGAAGAUCUAAGUUCUAUGUCAUACAACUAGAGUAGCCACUCUCAAAAUCCAAAACGUGUUUUUCUCUAGCUCUUAGGCCCUAUGGUUAACUAAGGCUUUUUGGUUCUCCUUCUUUACCCAAUUUAUCUUUCCAAUGGGAAAUUUAAAGCCUAUUUAAGAAUUAUUUUUAAAAUUAAUUUUCCAGUUCUUAAAAAUAGAAACCUAUUUUCUAGACUAAAGCCAUGUUUGGUAACUUUUUGACAUAUUAUAGUUUUUUGAGAACUUGUUAUGAAAAUAAGGUAUCUCCUAAUAACAUAUUUUAAUUGCUUUCAAGUGUUUUCAUUUAUUUUGUAGGGUUGUUUUAAGAAAAUAAUGGUAAAAAUAUAAAGAAUGAUGAAAAAUAAAGAACUAAAAAUAAAAGUUAUUUUUAAGAAAUAUUUGGAAAUACAAAAAAUAUAUUAAAAACGUUCUAAGUUUCUAAAUAGACUUUUAUUUUAGAAAACAUUAGACCAACUAUUUUUGAAAACUUUUUUCAAUAAUGGUUUUGUAAGAAUUAUUUUUUAAAAAAAAAAAAAUCCUAAACAAAGCCUUAACCUUUGAGGAUCUAAAACUUUGCACUAAGUUUGGUGUUUUAUUGUUGGAUUUUCUUAGUCUUGCAAGCUUUAUGAUGAUCUUGCAAUAUUUUCUUUAAUUUACAUUUCAUGUUACCUGAGCAUUCAGUUUGGCUAAGUAUUGAAGAAUAACUUUGGCUUACAUUCAACUUUUUUUAUGGACAAAGGAAUGGAGCUAGAUCAGAUUUCUUUCAAUUUAGUCAAUUUUGAUUUACAUGGCUCAUAAUCAGAUUGUAAGACAUUCAAAUUUUUUAACAAGGUACCGUGCUCAUUUUCAAGGUAAGAGAUUUUUUUAAAGCAAGGAAGUCUUCUCUCAUACUUCUUUUAUUCUCAUCCAACUUUCACAAUUUUCAUCUUAAGGCACUGAUCAUACAAGGCUUCCUUGGCAAUCUCAAAUGACAACUUUUCUUCCAAAUAUGUUGUAUCAUGAGACGAACCUUCAAAAUUUUCAUAUUCAAGAUCAAUUUCAAAUUUAACAUUUUUCUUUUCAUUGAAAAGUGAUAUAGAAGGUAGCAAGUAUAUCAACAAUUUCCUCAGGCUUAUCAUGCUCAAAAGACACAAAUAUCAUCAACGUCAUGUGAUAAUAAAUCAUAAUUAUGUUUAUGCAUGUUUCCAGCAAAUUAAUGCAAUAAAAUUUCUACAUUCUUCAUCAAAAUCAUACCAAAUUACUUCUAUGACCUUAUCCUUUUGACAUUCAAGAAAGUGACCUUUCUUGACAUAGUAGAAGAAACUUUGAAUCAACUAGAUCUUUUUAGUGCUUUUUAUCUUUUUAUCACAUUUCUUUUCCCUUGUUUAUGGUCUCGAAGAGGUUAUCCUUUGUUUCUUGAAGCUUUUUGAACUUUUUGAAAGGUUAUCAAACCUAUAAAUUUCAAAUAUUGCUCAUUUUUUAUUCCUAUUCUGAUUCAGAUGCAUGUUUAAUUUUUUUGAUAGAUAACACAAAUAUAUUAAAGGGCAAAGGCCACCAAGCAUACAGGAAGUAUAGAAAUCAGCCUCAAAACGAGAGCACAAAAAAACAAGCACCCUUACCCUCCUUUAAGUGGCCGCUAGCCACUUCAAAAAACCUAAGAGUGAAGAGGACUCCUCUCCAAUAUACACCCUAGCCCAACUCCACAAGGUACAAACAAAAGAAUUUUUGAGUUUUUUUAUAUUUAACACCCCUCCCUUAAAAGCUAAUCUAUUCAUUUCCUUCCAUAUCAUUCAAAAAAUACACAACGGGAUAGAAUUCCAAAUUUUUUUCCUUUUUUUCCCCACAAAGGGACCCCUCCAACUGAAUAACACCUCCUUCACUAACUCUGGGAACACCCACUGAACCCCCACAUGGGCAAAAACGAUUUCCCAUAAGGCCCUUACCACUAUACAAUGUAAUAGAAUGUGAUUUACACUUUCCUCUUCACAGCCACACAAAAAACAACAGUUAGGAAACUGCCAACCCCUUUUUUGAAGCCUAUCCAAGGUGAGAAUCUUCCCUCACGCCACUUCCCAAGCAAAAAAUGCCGCUUUGGUUGGGACCUUGUCCACCCAAACGCAUCUAUACGGAAAGUCGCAAGCAUUGAUAACAACCAGCCCGUUGUAGGCACCCUUCACCCCAUACUUACCAUGGCCUCCCCUUUCCAAAGCACCACGUCCUCCUUUGAAGAUAUCUUGAAGUCCCUGAGCAUAUUAAGCAAUCCUCUAAUCAAGUCCAGCUCCCAAUCAUUGAAGUCUCUAUGAAAUCUAAGAUUCCAACCUCCUUGACCACUGCUAUGAUCCCACAUCUCAUUAACCGUUGCAUUCUUAUUGACCACCAUCUCAAAAAGCUGGGGAAAAGAAUGGGACAACAUCUCAUUCCCACACCACUGGUCAGUCCAGAAUUUUACUCUAGUCCCUUUCCCUACCUUAAACUUUAUGUUAUCCCAACACCACUUAGCUUCCUUCAUAAUCUCCUUCCAAACCCCCACUCCAUAAGUACCACGGGCUUCUUUAGUUCUCCACCCAAACUCUUCCUGACCAUAUUUCACCCUAAUCAUUAACCUCCAGAGGUUAUCCUUUUCAACGGCAAAUCUUCAUAACCAUUUACCCAACAAAGCUUUGUUUAGAGAGUCAAUCUUCCGAAUGCCAAGGCCACCUUUCUCCCUUUAAGUGCACACCACCUCCCAUUUAAUUAAGUGGACUUUCCUCUCCAAGCUACCCCUUCCCCAAAGAAAGUCUCUUUGUAAUUUUUCGAGUUUAUUUACAACACUCUUCGGCAUUCGAAAAAGGGACAUAUUGUAAAUAGGAAGGCUGGCCAUAGUAUUCUUGAUUAAGGUGAUACGCCCUCCCUUCGAAAUAUAGUCUUUUCCACUAGGCUAAUCUUUUCCUCAUUCUCUCUUCCACCCCAUCCCAAAUAGAGACAGCUUUGUGGUGAGCUCCAAGGGGCAGCCCCAAGUAAACAGUGGGCAGCAAUCCCACUUUACAACCAAGCUCCACAGCCAUCUCCUCAAUAUCUUCCACCUCACCAACCGGAAUUAAAACGCUUUUAUCUAGAUUAAUUCUGAGACCGGAAGCCGCCUCAAACCAAGCCAAAAUCCAACUUAGAGCGGACAGUUGCUCUUUGCUAGCUUCACAAAAGAUGAUCGUGUCAUCAGCAAAGAGAAGAUGGGAAACUAUCAUCUCCUCUUCCUCUCUCCCCCAAAUUCUACAACCUGACAAGAAGCCCCCAUCAACCGCCCUUCUAAUAAGAUUACUAAGUACUUCUAUACCCAACACAAAAAGAUACGGGGAGAGGGGAUCUCCUUGUCUUAGCCCCUUGGAAUUCGAGAAGAAACCAACCGGCACCCCAUUGAUCAUGACUGAAAAUUUGGCGGUUGAGAUGCACCACCAAAUCCACUCCAUCCACCGCGACCCAAAGCCCAUUUUAAGUAGAACUUUUAUGAGAAAGUUCCAAUUAAUUCUGUCAUAGGCUUUCUCAAUGUCCAAUUUACAGAUCAGCCCUUUCUCGUUCCUCUUGUGCCAAAAAUCGAUCACCUCAUUGGCAAUAAGAGACGCAUCCAAGAUCUGUUUGCCCCUCACAAAGGCGUUUUGGUCCCCGGACACCACCUUAUCUAACACCUUCUUUAGCCUAUUUGCCAACACCUUAGCCAAAAGCUUGUACAAACCCCCUAACAAGCUAAUUGGCUGGAAAUCACCCAAGUCUUCAGUCCCUCAUUUCUUAGGAAUGAGGACUAUAAAAGUGGAAUUAAGGCUUUUGGCAAAAGAACACUGGUCAUAGAAUUCUCUAAACAAUUCCAUAAUCUCCUCCUUCACUAGCUCCCAGCUUGAUUGCCAAAAAGCAAUUGUGAAACCAUCUGGGCCCAGAGCUUUAUCCCCAUUCAUACCUAUUAGGGCAGCAAAAAUUUCCUCUUCAGUAAACUGCACCUCCAAGGCUUCAGCUUCACAUGAAUUUAGACGCUUAAGGUGCAGUCCCUCAAUAUCCGCCCUCCAGUCUGGUUCUUUUGAAGGCACCUGCUGAAAAGCACUCACUAUUCCCUCUCUCAUCUCCUGUUCCUCAGUCAUCCAAACUCCAUUAAUUUUUAUUCUAGCCAGAGAGUUAUUCCUUCGGUGAGCAUUAGCCAUCCUAUGGAAGAAUCCAGUGUUUCUAUCUCCCUCCUUAAGCCACAAUUCCCUUGACAAUUAUCUCCAGUGGGUCUCCUCCAAUAAGACCCAUUUUUUAAAGGAAUCCUUGGCUUCUUUUUUCAGUUCAGUUUCACCUUCAGACAAGCUCCUUUCCCUUUCCACCCUGUCCCAAAACUCCACUUGUUGAAGGGUUGAGUUCUUAUUGGCUUCCAGUCUACCAAACACCUCCCUAUUCCACACUUUAAUCUUUUGUUUCAGCACCUUCAUUUUAGUGGCUAGUCUGACACUGACCCUCCUUCUUACCUCAACUUCCUGCCACCAACCCCUAAAAAGAUCCGUGAAGCCAUCAACUUUAAGCCACAUAUUUUUAAACCUAAACGGGGACGGACCUCUCCUUAACCCACCCCCCAUCAACACGAUAGGAAAGUGAUAUGAGGUAGGUCUGGGCAGCCUACAUUGCAUGACCUCAUUGAAAUGGUCAAGCCAACUCUGGGUCACCAGGAACCUAUCCAACCUGGCCCAAGCCUGAUUAUUUCUCCCCCUACUCCAAGAAAGCACCCCUCCUUGCAAUGGAAGAUCAAUGAGUUCUAGCUUAUCAGCAACCUGAGCAAACCUUCUCAUUGCACUCGUUAGUCUUCCCUGAUUGCUUCUUUCCCUCAGUGACAGGAUAACAUUGAAGUCACCCCUUAGACACCAAGGAUCCUCCCAAAUGCCUCUAAUUGCUCCUAUCUCCUCCCACAUCCACUCCCUUUCCUCUCUAGAGAAGGGCCCAUACACCCCAGUAAACAUCCAAACUAGCCCAUCUUCCACGUUCCUCAUCCUACAAGAAAUUGAGAAGUUUUCCACUUCCAUUUCCAUUACUUCCAAGGUCCUCUUAUCCUAGCAAAUCAGUAUCCCUCCCGCAGACCCAUGGGCAUCCAGAGUACCCCAAUUAAGAAACCUACCAAUGCCUAAGCUUCUCACCAGGCCCUCUGUCAUUGCCUGAAUCUUGGUCUCCUGGAGACAGAACAGAUCCACUCUUUGACUCUUGAUCAUGACCUUAAUCACCUUUCUUUUUGAGCUAUCGUUAGCUCCCUGAACAUUCCAACUCAAGAUUCUUAGCUUCAUUUAACCACCAUAAUCUGACACCCUCUUACUAGCAUUCCACUCUUCUGCUUCUUCCCCCCCUCGUAGUUAAUAGAGCAUUCCAACCUUUUCAAUUCCCUUUCAAACUUGGAUUUUUUUAGAAGGUUUUUGUUGUGGACUUUUUCCCUUCUUUUUUGGAUUUUAAUCAGAAAAUCCAAAAUUUCUUUCUCCAAACCUUCUGUUGAAAAUCCCAAGAACUUACUGAAUUUGGCCAACUCACUCUCCUCCCAACUUUCCUUCUCCCAUCCCUUUCCAUCUCGUGGCAUAGAUUGGGCUAACCUCAAUUCCUUUCCACAGCUAUCCUUGCAGUCGCUUGGGCCCUCCAUCAAAUCCUAGCGGCUUGCAUUCUCCUCUUCUUGGGAUCCCAGGGGAAGAAGCAUGCGUAAGGGGGUUUAUCUCAGGUGAGUCACCCUAUCAUCCCCAGAAAGGUCGCAAAACUCCCCCAAAGGAGUCCGACCAAAAAAGAAAAGAGAAGAAGGAGAGGGUCCAGACGCCAUCAAACCACAAGGGAUAGGAGCACACCCGUACCUCGACGCUUCUUCAAUUAGGGCACAGUCGGUCCUUAACUUCUCCGCGAGAAAGAGCUCCACCUCAACUUGCCUCCGCCUGCCAUCAUAAUCCCAGAAAGGGAAGCAUUCAACAUCUGGCUCCCUCAGAUGACUUGGACCAGCCCACACAAGAGGCAAAGCCACUCCAGAGCAGCCCACCAAGGACUGGGCUGGAUCACGACAAUCUUCCCUCCCCGUCAGCCCGCACAUNNNNNNNNNNNNNNNNNNNNNNNNNNNNNNNNNNNNNNNNNNNNNNNNNNNNNNNNNNNNNNNNNNNNNNNNNNNNNNNNNNNNNNNNNNNNNNNNNNNNAAAGGGAAGCCUUCAGCAUAUGGCUCCUUCAGAUGACUUGGACCAGCCCACACAAGAGGCAAAGCCACUCCCAGAGUAGCCCACCAAGGACUGGGCUGGAUCACGGUAGUCUUUCCUCCCAGUUAGCCCACACGUCCUAGUGGACUCCACUGGUCUAAGGCCCUCUAAUGACGAAGGCCCUACAGAUGACGAAGGCCCAAUAGGAUGCGGCCCGGUCUUAGGUGAAGAAUCGAGCCCAUCGGACCCAACACCCAAGGCCCUAUGCAAGCCUUCUAGGUCCCCUAGUAAUGACCCAAUUGGGCCUCGAGACCGAGCCUAAAGGGACCCCGACCCACCUGUUUGCUCCCUUGUCCCAUCAGCAAACUGCAGGUGGGUCUCGAGCCUCGCGCCGUCCACCACUUCCAUCACGCGCUUGCCCGCGCAUGUAGAGACAUCACCUUCAACCUCUCCUUCAACACCGCUGUUCUUUCCCCUCCUUUCUGCCGGCAGCACUCUCAUUACCGGCCUUAACUCCCACCAUAGGACAAGCAAAUAACACACCCCUUUGACCCCAAUUUCUAUCAUGCUAGGGAUCUCCUCGCCGGAUAAUUUCACCAAGAUUCUUGCCCACUGCAACUCUUCCAACCUCUCCGUCUGAGUAUCAAUCGCUAAGAGCCCCCCGCAUUUCUCCCUUACCUUUCUNNNNNNNNNNNNNNNNNNNNNNNNNNNNNNNNNNNNNNNNNNNNNNNNNNNNNNNNNNNNNNNNNNNNNNNNNNNNNNNNNNNNNNNNNNNNNNNNNNNNNNNNNNNNNNNNNNNNNNNNNNNNNNNNNNNNNNNNNNNNNNNNNNNNNNNNNNNNNNNNNNNNNNNNNNNNNNNNNNNNNNNNNNNNNNNNNNNNNNNNNNNNNNNNNNNNNNNNNNNNNNNNNNNNNNNNNNNNNNNNNNNNNNNNNNNNNNNNNNNNNNNNNNNNNNNNNNNNNNNNNNNNNNNNNNNNNNNNNNNNNNNNNNNNNNNNNNNNNNNNNNNNNNNNNNNNNNNNNNNNNNNNNNNNNNNNNNNNNNNNNNNNNNNNNNNNNNNNNNNNNNNNNNNNNNNNNNNNNNNNNNNNNNNNNNNNNNNNNNNNNNNNNNNNNNNNNNNNNNNNNNNNNNNNNNNNNNNNNNNNNNNNNNNNNNNNNNNNNNNNNNNNNNNNNNNNNNNNNNNNNNNNNNNNNNNNNNNNNNNNNNNNNNNNNNNNNNNNNNNNNNNNNNNNNNNNNNNNNNNNNNNNNNNNUAUCCUGAUUCAGAUGCAUGUUCAUCUACUUUUAGUGCAAUGUUAAUGUUUCUUCUUCUUAGGAACACUUAGGGUCAUCUCCAAUUGAAGGGAGCCAACUAUCUCAUCUAGCUUAAUUGAAUCAACAGUGUUCCAUUCCUCUAGUGUUAUGACCUCAGGUCUAAAACGAUCAGAGGGGAUCUUAACAGUUUUCAGGUAACCUUGGAAUCAAGUAUAUUCAGGGAUCUUACAUAGAUUGAAAAUCAGCAUUCACAAUGUCUAUGAUUUCAAUAAUAUAUUCAGAAAAUGUUUUUGUUGUGAUCAUUUGAAAUUCAUUCCUUCACCUAUCCCAACUAUACAUAGUUUUUCCUACCCUAGUGGAUAUAUAUCCCAUCUCUAUCUAGCACCAUAUCAGGAUAUCAACCAAAUUGAACAGAACUCCAAUCUCUAUCAGACUUCAUUUUCAGGAAGUACAUCUGUUUUACCUUGGAAUGAGCAUAAUUAUCUCCUUUGAAGUAUGGAGGUCUACCUAUAGAGGUUCCUUCUCGGUGAAUUUCCAUCUUAAGAGAAUAUAGUUUAUCCAUAUUGAGAGCAUGAGUAAACAUGUUUUGAUAUGAUUUAUGAGUUUUUAAGAGAGUAUGCUAUGAACUUGAGAUCUUUUUUAGAUGAUCAAAUAACAUAUGCACAUGAAUGUGAUUAAGUGAUUAGCACAAGGUCAUACGCUAAAAUGUCUCUAAUGAAAUCUCAGCAAACAAGCACACAAAUAUUGCACAAGAUAUAACAUAAAAAAUCUCUAAGGGGAGAAAGGAAAUAAAUAAAUAAAUAACAAUGGGUGCCUUUGUUGUUGCAAAUCCACUAUGAAUAUAAAUCCAGUUUUGCCUACAAGUCCUCCCAGAUCAAUCACCAAUCCCCUUAAGGAAUCCUCAGAGUGAUUAUUUCUUCAAUCCACACCUCUUUUUUAUAUGCUUCAAUAUGGCUCAUCAUGUGCUCACCACCAAUCUCUCGACAUAGCCUCCUUCAACUAUCUUCAAUUACCACGAUUUCUCUUCUCCUCCACUAAUUACAUUACAACAGAAUCACCUUCACUAUCUCAUUGAAGUGAUCUCCAAAAACUAUAAAACAAAAAUUCUAUUUGCAAAGCAACUUCUUCUUCAUAUAGAUUCAGAGAACCAAAAUAAGAAGAUGUUUUCACCUGUAGCAAAAUCUUCAUGUAGAUUUAGAGAACUGAAAUUGUAACUUCAAAUUCACUCUUAGAAUCUCAAUUAAGGUAAAGCUCUCUCACAUUUCAAAAUCCCCCACCAAGAGUUUCGCUUACUCUUCAUUUUGGAAAUGAGAGUAGAACCAACUUAGUGCCGAGGGACAUAAGGCACACCCUUAUGGGCCUAUUGUCAUGCAAAUUUUAAGGUGGAGCAUCCAACUAACUCAACAAAUGUUUUUUUGCUUCCAGCCAUUUGUUUCCAUGGUCUAGAAAAAUAUGUCCUAGAUGAUUCCCAUUGUUUCAACUCUUUCAUGAAAAAUGCUUCUCAAAUCACUCCGGUCUUUCACUCACAUUACAUGUGAACUCCAAUCUACAGUAGUGAAAUCCUAUUAACGAGCAACCUGGAACAAUUAGCUUAUCCUUUCAAUCCCAUUUUCAAGCUCAAUUCCCUCCACCAGUGAAAACAAAUGGUCUUAUAUGAUCAACUCCAUUCACUCCAGGGCUAUAAAGGAAACACUUGUGAGCUGGCAGGCAGUAGCUCCUCCCGACUCACCAUNNNNNNNNNNNNNNNNNNNNNNNNNNNNNNNNNNNNNNNNNNNNNNNNNNNNNNNNNNNNNNNNNNNNNNNNNNNNNNNNNNNNNNNNNGCAAUUCACCAAAGAAUGCAUAGGUGGCAAUGAGGUCCCAAUGGAGCUGUGCAUAUCUAACAGUCGCAGACUUGAAGGAAGCUCUGGAAUUUGUGAAAGCUUCAUGCAGUGACUCAAGUCAAGGGCUCUAAGGUUAGAGAGUUGACUGAUACCCACAAGUAUGUCACUGAGGGUUCCUCCUUCCUCUGGAUUGGACCGACUUAGAUCUAAUACUUCCAGUGAGGAUAGAUGGAAAAUACAAUGGAAGACUCCUCCAUUUAGAUUGCAGUUUCUUAGCCUUAAUUCUUUCAAUGCGUUCAAGCAGUUAUCACUCUUUAUUACUCCUGGUGUUAGAUUGCAUUGAUCUAAAUAUAGUUCCCUUAAGAGAGAUAAACCUGACAAAGAAGGCAAUUGACAACUGAGCGAAUUUAAAGAAAGAACCUCUAGACAUGGCAUUCUCUCCAGGUCCUCUGGCAAUCUGUCAAGUUUUGAGCAGCCUUCAAGACUUAGAACUUCAAGAAAUCUCAAAUUACAAAUGCUGUUCGGGAGACCCUCAAGGUUUUUACAAUUGUCCAAAUACAAGUUGCGAAGACCUUCUAGAAGUUCAAUCGAUGAUGGUAGCUCUUUAAUAGCUGUUUCAUCUAAACUAAGCACCUCUAGUUUUCCAAUGUUGCACUUGAUUUUUGGAAAACUAGUUAGUUUUGAACAGCCACUGCAAUGAAGAGUUAAAAGGUGCUUCAACUUAUGAAUGUCCCCAGGAAGACUCUCGAGGCUUACACACCCUAUAAAAUUCAAGGAAAAAAAAAGUUAGUUUUAUGACACUCUUAUAUGUGUGUGAACCUUAAGUAAAAUUAUACAACCUGAAAGAAUAAGUUCCUCCAAAUUUGGCACGUUUGAGAAAUUUGGUAAUUCAAUAAGCUGUUGUGAAUGACUGAGAUCGAUGUACCUUAAAUUUCUAAGACACUGGAACAAAAUAGAAUUUCUAUUAAUAAAUCAAUUUUAAAAAAUUUAAAAAUAUUAUGAAACAAAAGCAUAAAUAAAUAAUAAUCAUACCAUGUUUCCUUUCCAAAGUAGUUUUAUGUUACUAUUGCUCAAUUUGAGGAGAGCAAGAUCAUUUGGAUGAAAGUUUGAUGGUAGAGAUUCUAAAGAAUAUCCAUCCCAACUGAGACAUGUCAAGUCAUCAGACGAAAAUACAAAAUCUUCAGGAAGUUGUAUGCGAUUGUGGGAGACGACAAGCAAUCUAAGUCUAUUCAUCCUUUCGAAAGCUUUGCAUGUAAACUGUAUCUGUUCUGAUUUGUCCACAUCAAGGAAUAUCCCUUCAAUUUUUUCAGUCCCCUAGAUAAUAAGAGUAUAAAAUUAGAAAAGCACAAUACAUAUAAAUCCUUACUAAGGUGAUAAAGAUAAAUAACUUCUUGAACAAAACAUAUUUUCUAUAUAUAUAUAUCUUACCGUAUUUCUUUUUAAUACUCGAUAAAUAUCUGUAUGCCUCCAUAAUCUGCUCCUCUCUCCUGGCUCAUUAGGACAUUCUUCAUCAACAAUGCCCUUGCCCAUUUGGGCUAACAAAUCAUGCAUCUCUAUUGUCUUGUCCUUUGAAAUGGUUAUGAAACACCUAUCAACGAGAGCAUUUAUUCCACUUUCCGCAUUGAAUUCGGAACCAUCCAAUAUUCUUGAAACUAUUUCCACAUCACCUCCUUUAAAGAAACAUGCAAUGUCGAGAAAUAUCAUCCUUUGUGUAUAAUCCAAUCCAUCAAAACUUAUUUUAAGCACAUUUACAAUUUCCAUGUUAGGCACCUUUUCCAGCUUCCGCAAUUCGCUUUUCCAAUUUGGUAGUCUCUUUCCAAAUAAUAGAGAACCCAAAACUUUAAGUGCUAAUGGAAGACCAUCAGCAUAUCGUACUACUUGAUGAGAGAGAUCUGCAUAACCUUCCUUCAGAUGAUGUUGUUUAAAGGCAUAACGACAAAAAAGUUGAAGAGCUUCGUGAAAAUUUAAUUUCUUAACUUCAUAUAUAUCAUUCACUUCAUGCCUAGUUAGCAAAUCUUUUUUCCUAGUAGUAAUGAUGAUUCUACUUCCUGGACCAAACCAAUUAUGCUUUCCAAUCAAGUGUUCUAAUUGUGUCAGCUCAUCUACAUCAUCCAAAAAAACAAGAACCUUUUUUGAGGAAAGCUUAUCCCUUAUUAUUUUGAUACCUUCAUAAACAUUCUUUAAAACUAUUUGCCCCUUUGUCCUUAGAGUAUCAUCAAGAAGCUUUUGUUGUAACUUAAGAAGACCAGAAUUUUUUGUGGAUUCUUUCCUGACAUUUGUGAGCAAGCUAACACUUUCGAAUUGAUGUGAGAUUUGGUUAUAAAGAGCAUUGAUGAUGGUAGUCUUACCGAUUCCACCAAGACCAUAAACCCCGACCAUGCGAACAUCAUUCGACUCAAUCUUUAACAAUGAUAUUAGUUUUUCCAAACGAGAAUCCAUUCCAACAAUGUUCUCGUUAACACCUAAAAUCUUAGGUAAGUUUCCAUGAACGUUCUCAAUAAUUUCAUCAAUAAGCGUUGACUCAUACCUGCCAAUUGCAAAGCAUAAUAGAUCAUGUACUCAUGCAAUAGAAUGAGUAGCAAAAGACAAUAAAUUAUAUGAAAUAAAUUUAAUGAUGCCUACUUUUCCAACUAUAACUUAGCAGGGCUAAAAAUAAUUUAAAUUAAAAUAAAAUAAACCACAUCUAUCAAACUACUUAUGGGUACGAUUGCAUUAUUCUAUACAGUUGCUCGUGUGAUAGAAAUGAGGGAAGAAAAUGCAGAAUAUGAUUUGCAUUAUCAAAAGUGGAAAAAAGAAAUUGAAAUAUUUUUGUGUUAACUUGUCUACUCAAUCUUUUGGAAGGCUCAAAAUGAAGUUGACUUGUUUGGAAUAUUACUACCCUAUUUUGAUAAGGGAUUCCAUCACAGAAUCAACCACUAUUCUGCAUCCAAGCUUUUACGAUCAACGUUACCAUCUUUUGUACUUGCAUAACUUUCUCUCACCAUUCAUUUAGAUAAUGGUUCCCCUAGCUGUUCUUUAUUAUUAUUAUUAUUAUUUAUAAAUUUUUAUAAAAUUUUUUGAAAACCCUUUAAUCAAAAUAUAACUUUUAUAAAUUAAUUGAACAUAUUUUAUUUAUAAUUUUAAUUAUUUUGUCCGAAGGAAUUAAAAAAAUAUAUUUUAAAAGAAUAUCAAUUUUAACUUAAAAUAAUUUAGUAUAUUCUUUAUCAAGUGUAAAAUUUUAAUGAACAGAUUUUUAUUUUAUAAAAAAUAAAAAAUUUUAAAAUUUUAAAACUCACAUAGCUUUAAAUAUUUUUUAUAUCAGCAGACAGAGAAAAGGAGAGUACUUCAAGUGAAAAAUGAAAAGAAGUUACAAUUACCUGUUCUCCGCAACAUGUCCGGCUAGAUUGCCUGCUUGCUCCAUGGCAGUCCUCCAUUUCCUUAUCUUUUCCUUUCUCUCCUCGUCUGCAUUUUCCUCAUGACGGGUAAAUGCUUCUCCACAAAUCCCAGUUUGCUUCCGAACUUCAGACGGAUCCACAUUAUAGAAAAUUGGGAUAACUAUUUGUCCCCUUUCCUCUUUGCAUUCCAUGAUCUUGACAAGCUCGUCCAGACACCAUUUGGAAUGAGCAUAGGUUUUUGAGAAAACAAUAAUGGCAAUCCUUGAUUCUUCAAUAGCUUUUAAGAGCUCUGGUGCAAUCUCUUCUCCCCUUGGAAGCUCUUCAUCAUCUCUGAAGGUAUGAAUAUUGUUACGAAUCAAAGCCGAGUAGAGGUGAUCAGUAAAGCUUUUGCGAGUAUCUUCACCUCUAAAACUCAAAAACACAUCGUAGCUCCACUGAGAGUGAGAAGUGGAAGAAGAAGAGGGUCUCUGGAUGCUGGGGGAAGCCAUGGUUGAACAGAAAUUGGAGGAAAAAUAAGGGUCUUCGGGUACUGAGUAACUCAUUCCCCUAGCCUUACGUGAAGUUUGGAUGUUGGUGGUGGGAUGCGCUUUUUCUUUCUUAAUUAUUUCUCCCUAGCUGUAUCCCUCUAGCUUUGAAUGAUAGUGUGGUUCACAUGGUCAAGACCGCACUUCAAUCAUUUCCCUUCACUCUUUUCUUUUACAUUUUACUCACUUUUCUGAGUUUUCUCUUUUUGUCAGUCAACAAUGGCCGACAGUCUUGUCUCUGCCGUUUACAGCUGCUCUUUUCUUUUAUUCUAAAAUAAAAAAAAUAAAAAAUGAUCAAAUGGUCUUUGCUUAGCUCAUAAGAUCGUGUGAACGCACAUUAAAUUAAAGUUAUUCAAUUAAGUUUUGUCUUUUCCAUAGUGAGCAAUAUUAUAGUAGAAAAUAAAGGUUUAUUAAGUUGAUAUGUCAAGUAAAGCUAACAACUUUGGUAUUAUAAGCUUCAUUUUUGUAGAUAAAAAAUAUGAUAAUUCAUAUGACAAAAGGUAAAGAAAAUUUUGAUCUUGAAGAGUAGAAAGAAGCACAAAACCUUCAUGAAAUUUUAGGGAAGAAAGACCAUGCCCAAAACUCGAAAUUUAAAUUUUCACAGCCUUUUCACAUUUUGUAGUUGGCUUUAUUAUUAAUAGAAGCACAUAAAUAAAUAUUGUACUUAACCAUGUUACUUCUAAAAUUAAAUCCCAUUAAUUUAUAGGUCAUAAUGGCUUGUAUAGGUCAUCAUAGUAAUGAGUGUGAAGGUGGGUACUUCUAUAAAUAAUAGAUGAGAUUAAACCAAUUACCCUAAAAUUCAAAAGCACCUUUAUCAUAAAAGUCAUUGUCGUCGUAAUGGUAAUGAGGUUGGAGUAUUGGAUUAAAAUAACUUAUUUAUUAAAAAAAAUAUAAUAUUUAACAAAUUUUCGAAACUUAUGUUCAAAUUGAUUUUUUUUUUUAUACCAUGUAGGUGUCAUGUCAUUAAAAUUUAUUUAUUUUUAAUCAUUUUAGUUAAAAUCUCAGUUAGUAAAUCAUUUUAAUUAAAAUCUCAAUUAGUAACUAAGGCUUCAAUUUUUAACUAAAGUCGGUAAUUGUCAAUUAAGGCUUCAUUUUUUAAAUUGAAGCCUCAAUUGACAACUAAAGUUUCAUUUUUGAAUUAAAACCUCAAUUGGCAACUGAAUCUUCAAUUUUGAACUAAAACCACAGUUCCCAACUGAAGCUUUAAUUAUUUUUUUUAAAUAAAAUUUAUUAAAUUAUAAUUUAUGAUUGAAAUUUUAAAAAUAUACUUAAAUAAUAAAUUAUUUAUAUUUAAACUUAAGAAUCUAGUAUUACUUCAACAAACAUAAAUUGAUAAAUAGAAGAUAUUAUAAAUGAAUAUUUUAUUUAUUAAUAAAUUAAUAAUCUUAAAAUAAUAAAUUUACAUAACAUAUAAAUAAUAUAUAAAAUUGUAUAAUUUAUUAAUUUAAGAUAUUUAAUUUGUCGUUUUUUAAGAUAUUAAUUUAUUUGUAUUAUGACAAAUUUAUUUUUAUCGAAAUAAUAAUAUACUUUUAAGUCAUAGUUGCUAACUGAGAUUUCAAUUAUAAUUUUUUUUUUACUUUCAAAUUUAAUUAAAAACUAUUAAAUUAUAAUUUAUUAUUGAAAUUAAAAAUAUAUACUUUAAUAAUAAAUUAUUUAUAUUUAAACUUAAAAAUAUAGUAUUACUUCAACAAACAUAAAUUGAUAAAUAAAAUAUAUUAUAAAUAAAUAUUUUAUUUAUUAAUAAAUUAAUAAUCUUAAAAUAAUAAAUUUAUAUAACAUAUAAAUAAUAUAUAAAAUUGUAUAAUUUAUUAAUUUAAGAUAUUAAUUUAUUUUUAUAAUUUAAUAAUUUUUAAUUUAAAAAAAAUUAACUAGGACCUCAGUUGGAAAUUGAGACUUCAAUUUUAAAAUUUUAGUUUAAAAAUGAAACCUCAAUUGAUAACUGAGGUUUUAGUUCAAAAAUGAAGUCUCAGUUAUCAAUUGAGACUUUAACUAAAAUUAUGAAGAAAAAAAAAUUUAAUGAUAUGACACCUACAUGACACAAAGAGACCAAUUUGAACAUAAAUUUCAAAAAGUAAUUAAAUGUUUUUUUUUUUUUAAUAAAUUGACCAUUUUGACCCGAUACUCAAUGAGGUUAGGUAUAUUUUGAAAGAAUAGAAAACCCUAAAUUUCAAAAGAAUGUUUGAUUCUUGACAAUUUAUCCCCAAGAGCCUUAUUUUUUUACUUUUUAUCUUUUUAUUAUUAUUAUUAUCGUGAGGAUGGUUAAAGAUGAUAUAGAAGUCUUUCAAUGGUUUAAAAAAGAAAAAUGUGAGUGUUAAGUUGACAUUUUUGCCAUUUUAGAAAAUACUUAAUUUUAAGAUCAUUAAUAGGAAGAAAUAAAGAGUUCACAAAAAAUAAAGACAUUUUUAUUGAUUGAUCUAGGUAAUUGUGGACCCCGCAUUUCGGCUCAAUACGUUUUCCACUAGAUGGCGAGCUCGAUUUUGAUUUGAAAAAUGAUUUUUAUUGGUUAAAAGAAUGACUUGGAGUCGCCACUUAUUUUUGUUUUAUUUUUAAAGGGUAAACAAAAUAAGAAAGAAAAACCCUAAGUGUGACUCCUUGUUUUGGAAAAGGUGGUCUGUGAAAAACCGGAUCGGGUUCGGGGGUCAGGUUACUUAUUGGGAAGGUACGGUAGAGACCGUAGCACCCCUCUAAGUCCCUAAAGUCGGGUCUCUACUAAUAAAGUGAAACUGACGUGACAAUCGAAUAAGAAAGUCAAUGGAUACUCACAUCAAUCAUGCAUAUAUGAGAAUCAGAAUAUGUAUAGUGAAUGAUCAGAAUGAGUGAAUGCAUACCUGGGCAGCAAACAGCAACGCGCUAUCAAGAAACGGGAUUAGUGCACAAUUAAUGAAUACAAAACAUAGCUCAUACAUAUCGGAGUGCAAAGCGAAGCUCAAACAAAAUACAGUAAGCACGAAAAUUGACAGUCAAAAGGGGUCAAACAUAGGGCCCCCAACAAAGCCCGAUUUAUUGUUCAUGAGCUAAUCCCACAAAUCCCCUGUUUUGGAAUUAUGAAGGAAUCACUGUUGUUUAUGUAAAAUCAAGAAGAUCAGAAGAUUAUUUAGGAACUGAAAUGUGAUUAAGAACUAUUCGAGUGAAAACUGAAUUAUUGGAGCUUAUUUGAAAAUUGAAGUAUUUGGAAUUAAAUUUUGAAGAUUAGAGCUCUGGUGAUUAAAUCGAAAUUUUUAAAGAAAAUGAGAAACGGACUUUAGGAAAUUGAACUGCGAGACCAUAGACUUUUGAAAGUUGAAUUUAUAAUAAUGAUAGUAAUGAGGUCUUGAGAGGUUGAAUUAAUAAUAAUAAUAAUUAUAAGAUUUCGAAAGUUGAAUUUAUAAUAAUGAUAGUAAUGAGGUCUUGAGAGGUUGAAUUAAUAAUAAUAAUAAUUAUAAGAUUUCGAAAGUCUGAAUUGACGAUAAUAAUAACAAUAAUAAGAUUUUGAAGGUGUGAAUUAAUAAUAAUAAUAAUAAUAAGAUUUUGAGAAUUUGGAUUAAUGAUAAUAAUAAUAAUAAUAAAUAGAUUUUGAAAGUUGAGUUAACAAUAAUGAUAAUAAGAGAGUUUGGAUUAAUGAUGAUAAUAAUAAUAAUAAAUAGAUGUUGAAAGUGCGAAUUAAUGAUAACGAUAAUGAUGAGAUUUUGAAAGUUGGGAUUAAUGAUAAUAAUAAAUAAUAAUAAAUGGAUGUUGAAAAUGUGAAUUAAUGAUAAUGAUAAUGAUGAGAUUUUGGAGGUUUGGAUUAGUGAUAAUAAUAAGUUAUAAUAAAUAGAUUUUGAAAGUUGAGUUAAUAAUAAUAUUAAUAAUGAGAUUUUUGGAAGUUUGGGUUGAUGAUGAUAAUAAUAAUAAUAAAUAGACUUUGAAAGUUGGGUUUAUAAUAAUAAUAAUGAGGGUUUUGAAAGUUUGGAUUAAUGAUAGUAAUAAUAGUACUAAAUAGAUUUUGAAAGUUGAAGUAAUAAUAAUAAUAAUAAUGAGAUUUUUGAAAGUUUGGAUUAAUGAUGAUAAUAAUAAUAAUAAUAAAUAGAUGUUGAAAGUGUGAAAUAAUAAUGAUGAUAAUAAUGAGAUUUUGAAAGUUGGGAUUAAUGAUGAUAAUAAUAAUAGUAAUAAAUAGAUUUUGAAAUUUGUGAAAUAAUAAUGAUGAUAAUAAUGAGAUUUUGAAAGUUGGGUUAAUAAUAAUAAUAGUAAUGAAAUUUGUGAAUGUUGAGUUAGUAAUAAUAAUAGUAGGAUUUUGAAAGUUUGGAUUAAUGAUAAUAAUAAUAAGAAUAAAUAGAUUUUGAAAGUUGAGGUAAUAAUAAUAGUAAUAAGAUUUUGAGAGUUGAAUUAAUAAUAAUCAUAGUGAUAAUAAUAAUAAUAAUGACAAGAACAAUGAUAAUAAUAAUAAUAAUAAUAAUGACAAUAAUAAUAAUAAUAAUAAUAAUAAUAACAAUAAUAAUAACCAUAAUAAUAAUAAUAAUAACAAUGAUAACAAUAAUUAAUAAUAAUAAUAAUAAUAAAUGAUAACAUGCAUCCAUCAAACCCAAAGCCCAUAAGCAUGGAUCCACUAACAAGCCUCAUCUUCAACAAGCCCAGUCCAUAAGCCUAAACCCAUAAGCCUAAGCCCACAAGCCUAAGCCUAAGCCUCCAAAGCCCAUCAGCAAAGCUCAAGCCCAAAUCAAUGAGUAAGCCCAAGCCCUUUAUCACAUGCUCUUCUUCCUCAUCUCCGGAGACAGUGACGGAGAAAAAUGGAGGUGAGAGAGACAUCGUCGGAGGUCCUCGGAGUUGGUCCAAGCUGCCAUCCUCCCGCGCCACCUCGGACAUGCCCAACUGCAGCAGCCUAGUGUCGGUGUGGAGCCUGCUGCUGCAGCCUUCAUAGGAGCGUGGAGCUUCGUCGGCCGGAAUCUGGUCGUUGAGGAAGAGCUCAUGUGCUGACAGCAUCCUCGACGUCGUCGUCGCGGAGCUCCCAUAGUAGGCGAGCCAUGUGGAAGAUUCGAACCCGGCGCCGGUGGACGAUGAGGCUACGGUUAAAGUGGACGGCGUCGGCAUUACGCAAGGUGCGAAGUGCAUGGGGCUCACCGGAGUGCUGUAGAAGAAAAACACCGCUUCCGGAGCCGCGUCCUAGGCUGGAGGGAGCAUUGACGUGGGGGGUGGAGCUAGAGAGAGAAAAUGUGGUGGAAAUGAUAAUGGGUGAGUGUGGCGAGGGUUGACGGAGUUGGGGAUGUGCAUGAGAGAUGAUGGGCAUGAAGAGAUCCAAAAAAAAAAAAAAAAGAUGGGUAUGGUGAUCUCGGAUGUGAGUGGUUAAAUGGGGGUUUGUGAACAAAGCAUGAAUCAAUAAUGUCAAAGCACACUUAUAACUCAAACCUCAUCCAACAAUACAUCAACUACUAGCUAUCCAUAUCUGGAUCAAAGGGAAAAUGACCAGAAAAUAACUCAAGAAAGAAAGAAAAAAAUGGGACAAUCAGAUGCUAAGUAGGAGCAAGGAGUCAUCAAUGGCAUACCUGGGGACGCUCCCUUCUUCUUCAAGCUUCACUUUCCAAGAUCCCUCGAACCAGCCCGCUCUCCCCCUCCUCCUUCCUGUUGCCCUGGUCCCGCUUGCCUUUUCUUCUUUCCCCCGUUCUUUUUUUUCUCUUCGUGUCUUCUUCAGCAAGCCCGCCGUAUCCCGUCCCAUCUGCAGCCCAAAAGCUCUGCCUUCUUCCUGCUUUUCUUCCAACCGUCCUCGGGUGGAUAAAGAAAGUAGAAAAGAAGAAGAAAAAAAAAAGAAAAUGCAUGAAAAUAAAAAAAACCUGCCCCCAGUUGAGGGGGUCUACAGUAAUCCUUUCAUAGCUUUUAACUAUAACUUUGUUGAAAAUCUUACUCCUUCCUCCUUGUCUUCCUCUUAUAAUUUCUAAGUUUCAACUUUUUUUUUUUUCUUUUUAAUAAUAAUAUUGGUUUUAUGUUUUAAUGAAAUAGGUUGCAAAUUUGAAGAAAACAUAUUCUAAUGUAUUUAUUGAUUAUAGCUCUUUCUUCAAAAGGGUUAUCGUUAUUUACAUUCUCAAACUAAUCAAAUUUACAUCUCUAGAUAUGUAAUCAUUGAUGAGUUUGAGUUUUCCUUUACUAACAAAACUUCUACCAUAUCUUUCUUAUAGGAACAAAGUCAAAUGACCAUAUUUUGAGAUUUCGAUCAGCAGUCACAACCAUUCAAUCCAAACACCAACUCAACCCACAACUUCACUCCCACCAAACAACCUUUCAAACCAUCGUAAUAGUGUAGAUCUUCUAUUUUGUCUUUUUAACACAUCUCAUCUAAAUUUGUCUUUCUUACAUACUUUAACACCUUAUUAUGCACUUAUGGUCAUUUUUCUAAGCUGUUUUUUUUAAAUUAUCUUUUAUUCUUUGUGAUUAUGUUGAUUACUAAUUAUUUUAUUUUAUUUUAUUUUAUGCAAGAGUCAUUCUAAAGGGAUUAAAUGCAUUCCAAUAUUGAUUUUAAUGAUUUUUAAAUCUUAAUUCAGGACUUUAUUUUUUAUUGAUGUAUAACAUAUUUAGGUUUGUUUAAAAUUUUCAAACUUUAAUUUUAUAAAAUAGAUUCAAGUUUUGAAUUAAUUAAUAAUUGAUUUCAUUCUCUUUAAAAUGUAGAAUAUGAUAAAAGGCCUGCAACAAAUUCAAACAAAUCUUUAUACAAGUGAGAAUUUAUGUCAUCCAAUCAUUUUAUUAAAAAUCACUCUAUAAAUUAUAAAAAUAAAGAUAUUAAUCACAUCUAUUAAUAUGUUUUUUUUUUAAAUUGACAAAUCAUGAUGAAAUUAUAAUCUUUUUAAUAUUUUAUUAAUUAUAAAUUAAAACAUCACUAUAAUUAUUCAAUCCCCACAGAAUAUAAAAUGAGUUAUUUUCAGUAAUAAUAAUAAUAAUAACUAAUCAUAUUUGAAUAACAUUUCAUCAAUUAUAUAUCAAAAUAAAGUUUUAUGUUUAUCAUAACCUAUGUUUUAAAACAAAAUAAUAAAAGUUAUAUUUCCAUUUAAAUGUAUUUAGAUAUCUACCUCCAUAGCCCAUGGUAUUAAAAUAAUCUAAUAAAACACAGUAUCCCAUAACCGGUCAACAGCACAGCUGCUCCUAGCCUUAGCCUCUUGCAGCUGCAAUCAGCUGUUCCACUCUCUGUUACAGGAGUUUAAGACCAAAAUAAUAUAUUUGUAAAAAAAAAUGAUAAGAAUAGUAUCCAUUUGAAAAUAUUUGCCAAAGUAGUCUUCUUUAUCCACGUAAGCAUCCACAUGGAUUUUAAGUGUAAAGAACCACCGUUGGUGACUGUGGUUUUAGAACUUACAAAAAUUUCCUUAAAACCACAGUUACAAACUGUGGUUUUACAAUUUCUCUUAGAACCACAGUUACUAACUGCGGUUUUAAAAGAAGUUUCCUUAAUACCACAGUUACAAACUGUGGUUUUACAAUUUCCUAACUUUACAAUUAUUUUUAAAAUAUUUUUUUUAUUAAAACAACCAUAAAACCACAGUUAGUAACUGUGGUUUUACUAAUGGUGUUGUAAUUCAAAUUAGUGAUGUUAUGUUAUUCACAUGUUUCCUUGAUAAUUUAAACAAAUAAAACUCAAAUGCAUCCUAAAGUCUAAAUGAAAGAAAUUAUAACUAAAUAAAUUAUUACAACCAUUACCUAUUUUUCUUUCAUAUAAUUAAAAAAUUAUACAUUUUAACCAAGACAUAAGUUCAAAUCAUACUUAAUAAUAAAUAACCUAAAAUCAUAAUCACUAACAUUAAUUUUCAUAUGAAAAGAUAAAAUUUUAAAAUAAUAUAAACAAUUUCUUUAGUUAUUUUAAAAUUUAAAAAUAAUAUGAAUAAAUAAUUUUCUUUAGUUCAUAUGUGAAAAUAUUUGUAAAACAAAUAAAUAUUUUAUUUACUAUAAAUAUAUAAAUUUUUAUGGGAAUGCAUGUAGACCAAAUUAUUUUCUCAAAUUUUCAAGGAAAAUAUGAAAAAAUAAAGAUAAAAUAUAUAUAUAUAUAUUUUUAAAUAGUCGUAACAAAAAAAUUUGUGAAAAGCAAAGUUCUAAAAUCCCAUACUUUUUUAUACAUGAGUCCCCUUAAAAAUAUUUGUGAAAAUUACAACAUAAUUGUAAUUUUGAUAAAAAAAUAUUUUAAAAAUAAUAUUAAAAUUACAACACCAUUAAAAUAGAUGUGGAUUAAAAAUAAUUGUAAAACCACAGUUACUAACUGUGGUUUUAUAGUUAUUUUGAUAAAAAUUAUUUUAAAAAUAAUAUUAAAAUUACAACACCAUUAGUAAAACCACAGUUACUAACUGUGGUUUUAUGGUUGUUUUGAUAAAAAAAAAUAUUUUAAAAAUAAUAUUAAAAUUAUAACACCAUUAAAAUGAGGACGGAUUAAAAAUAAUUGUAAAACCACAGUUACUAACUGUGGUUUUAAGGGAAAUUGUAAAACCACAGUUUGUAACUGUGGUUUUAAGGAAACUUCUUUUAAAACCGCAGUUAGUAACCGUGGUUCUAAGAGAAAUUGUAAAACCACAGUUUGUAACUGUGGUUUUAAGGAAAUUUUUGUAAGUACUAAAACCACAGUCACCAACGGUGGUUCUUUACACUAAAAAUCCAUGUGGAUGCUUACGUGGAUAAAAAAGAUUACUUUGACAAAUAUUUUCAAAUGGAUACUAUUCUUAUCAUUUUUUUUUACAAAUAUAUUAUUUUGGUCUUAAACUCCUGUUACAGUCCAGCUUUGGCCGCCCAAGACAUACAUCUUUUCACCCAUCAGCCAUUACCCCUGCCACAGCUCAUACUAAAGCUGCCAUAACCUAUACCCCAUAACCUAAUAUACGACUCUCACAACCGCCCUUUGUAAGAGUCACACAAAAGCCAAAUUUUUAUUAUUAUUAUUUUUAAUCAACUCCAGCACAGCCUCGUCAGACGCCGAGCCUCCUGAUCUCAUCUCCAAACACGUUCUGCAGCUGAAUCCUUUGCCUUUAUGAAGUUUGGAUGUUGGUGGUGGGAUGUGCUUUUCCUUUCUCAAUUAUUUCUGCUUAGCUGUAUCCCUCUAGCUUUGAACUUUCACUUUUGUCCCUUUUGGCAGUCAACAAUGGCCGACAGUCUUGCCUCUGCGAUUUACAGCUGAUCUUUUCUUUUAGGGAGAGUUGGGAUUACUGGCUGUUAUACGAGAAAUACAUGGUUUUCAAAACCAUAUAACUGAAAUAUGAUUUACCUGAGAAAAAUUGUGAGAGUUGAGUUGUCAUUUUCGCCAUUUUAGAAAAGACUUAAUUUUAAGACCGUUAGUAGGUAGAAAUAACAAGUUCACAAGAACGAAAGAGACCUUUGUUGACUGACCUAAGUAACCCCUUUCAUGGCUUUUUCACUUGUUUGUUUUUGGGUUUUCUUUAAUGAGGCUAGGUGAUUGUUGUUUAUUUUGACUUAUAUUUUAGAUGGAUUUCAUUUUUAAUAAGAGUUUUUCAUGGUAAAAAUUGAUGUGAUACAAAUUUUUAUUGAUAUUAAUAUCAUUUUAUCAUAAAUUAUUUAGAGUAUAGAUAUAAAUAAAAUAUCAAUACCAUAGGAAAUGUUAAAAUAAAGUUAGGUGCAUAUGCAAAAAAUAAAAUUUGAAAAAUAGAAUAGUCCAGUCCAACCAUAUCCACACAUCCAUCUUCCUAUAAAUGAAACUAAUGAUAGAUACAUAAGUCAAAAAUAAGAUUUGAAAAAGAGUAUAAUCCAAUUCAACUACCUAUCUUCCAAUAAAUUAAACUCAAAAUGGGCACAUAUUCCAAAAAUAAAUUUUGAAAAAUAAAAUAUUCCAAACCAACUUUAUCAACAUGUCCAUCUUCCAAUAAAUUAAAUUGGAAAUGAGUCGGCAUGUGAUAAAAUAAAUGUCAAUUUCCAUUUUACUUAUAUUAAAUUCACUUAUAUAUUUAUAUCGAAAAUUAUCCUUUGAAUAUUUCUAGAAACAUUAGUGUGGACUCCGCAUUUUGAUUGCUCAAUGCGUUUCCCACUCGAUGGCGAACUCGACUUUUAUUUGAAAAAUUGAUUUUUAUUGAUUAUUUGAAAAUGACUUGGAGUCGCCACUUAUUUUUGUUUUAUUUUUAAAGGGUAAACAAAAUAAGAAAGAAAAACCCUAAGUGUGACUCCUUAUUUUGGAAAAGGCGGUCUGUGAAAACCGGAUCGAGUUCGGGGGUCAGGUUACUUAUCGGGAAGGUACGGUAAAGACCGUAGCACCCCUCUAAGUCCCUAAAGUCGGGUCUCUACUAAUGAGAUGAAGCUGACAUGGCAAUCAAUGAGAAAAUCAAUGAAUACUCGAAUCAAUCAUGCACAUAUGAGAAACAAAGCAUGUAUAAAGAAUGAGCAAAAUAUGAAUAGAUGCGUACCUGGGCGGCAAUCACGAAUGCGCUAUCAUGAAACAUGGUUAGUGAACAAUGAACAUAUAUAAUUAAGCGCAUAUCAAGGAAUAGAGUAAAUCAAUCAUGCAUGACAAAUAAAUCAAUCAAGCAAUCAAUCAGUCAUGAAUUCACAUAUGUGGGCCCCCCAUCAAAGCCCGUUUAUUUUGCAUGAAUUAAUCUCAUAAAUCUCAUCAUUUGAGAAUUACGAAGAUUGAUUUCUUGCUUGUUUAAAAACAUUUUGAAAUUCAUAGGAGUUGUGAAAAUUAUUGGCCAGAAGGAAGAAUGGCAGUGAAUUUUAUUUGAAAUGAGAUUUUUGAGUGAUCCUAAAAAUUCUAAAGAUGAAAAUUUGAAAAAUAAAUAAAUAAAUAAGAAUAAAAUAAAAUUAUUUGAAAAUCUAGAAAUUGGAAACUAUUUGAAAACGGGAAAUUUGGAAAUUACUUUUAAAUUGAAGAUAAAGAAAUAAAUAGAUAAAUAAAAAAAUAAAUAAAAGACACGUGGCCCAAAAGGUGGUCAUGCAUAGCUGCUUGUAAAUUGGGCAGCCAGUGCUUCUCAUACUCUCAGCUUCGGGAUGUUCCUUGAUGUAGUUGCCCCCAUGUGUCAUCCUUAGCCGUGACAAUGCAUGUGUCUUCAUCCCAAUUAAAGUCACUUUGAUCAAGAAGCGUCUUGACAGUGACAUAUUACAUCCUUAAGACAUCAUACCGAUUCUGCAGUUGCUCCUUCAAUUUUGGGUACUGAGCCCUGGCCCACUUUAACACAAAAUUAUACACUGCAUCCUCUGACGCAACCUGGAGUUCAUCACUAGACAAAAAUGCUUCAGUCUUGACAAGGGGUAAGGCCAUCGCCUCUUCUUGAAACUUGGUUGUGUCUUUGUAACGACUAGCAAGAUAUUGAUUGGUUGCAUCUGUCAAAGGCUGAACUGUCUCAACCAUUAGGGCACUAGAAGGAGGCUCUAGACAGAGCAAUGCAGAUUUCAGGUAUCAUGGAUAAGUUCCUUAAGAGUCUGCUGCAGCUGCGAUUCGGAGACUCUCCACCGUUGAUUUCAUCAUCAUGCUUCGCUUCAGAAUUCUGGACGCCAUGGAUUCAAACCGCGACUGGUUUGGCUUCCUUCAUUGCUUGUCACAACAGACUGCAUGCACCAUUCGUCGCGUACCUCACGACAAAUGUGAGUCUGGUUAAUCCCGUAGGAGGACUCCAAGCAGCAUGCAUAACGUACCUCUUCGGAACAUCACAACGAGACCCACUGGUGCCCUCGUCUGAAUACACCUCCGCAUCUCAUUCAAGUAAUGGGUAUUGGACCCAUGCAUGCAUGCAAAGAUGGAGGAGUGAAGUGGUGAGAGAAAGGAUGUACGGAUUUAGCUGCGAGUAAAGUCACGGGUAUGGGAGGAUGGAUGCGGUGAAGACCUUUGAGGGUGAUGAAAAAUGGUGCAUGGAGUAAGAUAGGCUAAAGUGGAAAUGCGUGGUAGAAUGGGCAAGGAUCUCAUGGGGAGAGUGCAGUCACGCAUAGGGUUAUGGGUAUGAUGGUAUGGGGGAUGGGAUGAUGUAGUUAUGGAGUGGUGUAGUGAGAGGAAAGGUGGUGAAGGGUAUGUGAGGAGGAUGAUGGGUAUGAGAGAAGGGUAUGAUGGGUACCAUGCAUGGGGAUGAAUGGUAUGAAGGAAGAUGGGUAUGGAGGAACAUGAAGGAUGGGUAUUGGAGGAUAUGGGUGAUGAGAAUGAAGUAGGAAACGUGGGUAUUAUGGGUGUGGGAAUUAAGGACGAUGGUGAAUGCGCUUAAUGGGAGAAUAUAGGAUGGAGAACGGGAAAUGGAAGAUGGAGAAUGGAUGAUGAGUGAUGGAGAGCUUGAGGUGGGUUGGAUGGAUGCAUGCAUCGGGCAUGAAGGACGGGUGAGUGGGAUGUGGGUAGUGGGCUUGGAAAAUAGGAACGUGGGUAAGGUGGUGUGGGACCAUGCAUGACUAAAUGGGUUAUCUUUUCCCGGUUUUUUUUAUUUUCCAGAGAUUUGCAGCCAAUUCCUUACUGUCAACAUGAUUACUGCCAACAUCUCAUCUCAGUGCCUUUCAUUAUUCUCACAGUCGCGACCAAAGAACAGUUCACUGUAGGAAACCAUAAAGAAAGACUAUGCUUCGUUGCUACUGACAAGGCAUUAUUUCACUUACCCUGAUUCCAUUUUAAGGCGGGAUAAAACCCGCAACCUGCACCAUCUGCGGAUAUGGUGGAACAAGUCAUCCACCAGAGAAGAAAUGCCUCUCACUGACAGGGUCUGAUGAUGGAGUUGAAAAAUUACGUCUAAAUAAGAAACUGGAAGGAGAGCCUCAAUUUCAUUCUUGGAUUUAACUGCUCAAUCCUUAACAUUCUCACAGCUGUCACCUUCCCCAUCAUAGUCACUUCCACUAACCAUCUUUUCCGGAGGAACACCAUUUUCAUAAAUCCACCAUUACUACCAGCCUCAGGUAGUAAUACGAGAAUCGAAACUCUCCACGACUAGUUCUAGGGAGCAGAGAUGGUAUGGGGGACAAAAUCGUUAAAAAAAAAAAAAAAAAAAGAACAAAAAUCAAAAGAUCCCGGAAUCGUAUAUAUAAAGCUGCGUUCCAUGAAAAACGAACGAGCUCAAAAAUGGUGGAACAAACAGGGGGUCCUCAACACGAGCUGGUAAACAUCAUACUCAAAUCUAGGUAAAGAGUAAUACCCCCAUUGCAAUGAAAAAAAAAAGAUUGAGAGCAUGAGAAGAGAAUAAAACAUAACAUAUAGGAGCAGAUAAUCACAUUUAAACGAAGCAAACCUGUGGCCCUUGAUCGUCCACAGCAAAUCACAAAUAGAUAUUCAUCAGAUUAGCAGAGAAUGAAGUGAGAUUUUAAGAGAUGAAAACGCACCAGAUUCAAAGUGAUGCUACUAAUGGCUCCACAAUGCAACCUUCUCCUCCUCGGCUUGCAAGCUUUCUCUUAGAAAACUCUCCGUGUAGCUUGCUUUCCCCCCAACUCAACCUCUCUGUCAAAAACUCCUCCUGUAGCCCUUCUCUCCCCAACUCUCAAAUAGCUGGCCACCUCUCUCUGCCCUCUCUCUCUACCCUGCAGCAGCUUCUGAAAAGCACCCUACCUCUGGCCAGCUGACCCCCCUGCAAAAAUCCCCUCUAACAGAAAAUAUGCGCUCCUCCUAACGGCCAGAAUAUCUCCAUGCCACGUGUCAAACUCUCACUCGCUCCUCAAUUCCACCAUCUGUUUCUAUGACCACCAACCACAAGACGACACGUGGCCCUAUGGGACUGCGGCACUUGGCAAAAAUGGCUGUAGAAAAUGACACCCAAAUGGGGGUCUACAAAUAUGCCCCUCUUCGGUAGAGUUCACGAGUGUAAGAGAUAUGAACACUGAAGUGAAAAGUAAGUGUGAAUAGUGAGUGGAAUGAAGUGAACUCUACCGAAGAAUCAAAGAGACCCCCAUAGGGACACUGGUGAAACGCAAAGUCACCCAGGCUAGUAGAUGAACACAAAGGCUCUAAUCCUAAAAGAGAAAUGAUGUCACAAAAUGCCUCUGCGGCCAUACUAAGGAUCCAAGCUCCCUCUAAGAUGUCUCCCACCCAUUUACUGCUAAAACAGUGGCAGACAAAUUUGUAUAGGAAUUAUCAAGCUCCACGGGAUGCCCCAGUUCGUCAUUAGUGACCGAGAUCCAAUUUUCAUUAGCAAGUUCUGGCAAGAAUUCUUCAAGAUGUCGGGCACCAAAUUGCAACUCAGUUCCGCAUACCACCCACAGACCGUCGGACAGACGGAAGUUGUCAAUCACUGCCUCAAGCAAUACCUUCGUUGUUUCGUGCACUAGUGGCCACGCAAAUGGAGUUCUUAUUUACCUUGAGCAGAAUAUUGGUAUAAUACCAACUAUCAUAUUUCUACAGGGAUGACCGCAUUCCAGGCACUGUAUGGAAGGCCGCUUCUUGGCAUUCCAUCGUACAUAGGUCUUUCGCUAGUACACGAGGUGGAUCAACAGUUAAUGACUCGCGAUGAACUACUUUAGCAAUUGAAGAUUAACUUAGCAAGCUCAGUUAAUCGAAUGAAACAAAUGGCAGACCACAAGCAGAGGGAUAUUUCGUUGACAUUGGCGAAUGGGUGUUGUUGAAGCUGCAUCCUUACGGCCAACAAACAGCCUUCAAACGGGUCCAACAAACGGCCUUCAAACGGGUCCAUCAGAAAUUGGUUAGUCGUUUUUACGGAUCCUAUGUGAUCUUGAAGAAAUGCGGACCAAUCGCGUACAAAUUAGACUUACCAAAAGGCACGCGCAUCCACCCAGUGUUUCAUGUGUCACUACUUAAAUGAUACCAAGAAAAUGAUGGACUUACGGAGCCACAGUAGACAACGUUGCCACCUAUCUCCGAUGAAGGAGUGGUCGCACUUGAACCGCAAAAGAUUCUGGACACCCGCUUGGUCAAACAGAGAGGCCAACUUGUUGAAGAAAGCCUAGUGCAACGGAAACAUCUACUCUCGAAGGACGCCACUUGGGAACCAACGAAGAAAUUGCUCAACGAAUUCUCACCAACGAUCCUUGAGGACGAGGAUCCACUACACGGGGGAAGUAUUGAUAGGCCACGUCAGUCAACGAGGCCCCGUAAUCCAAAUCCCAAAUACUUGGGAUAAGCUGGACGUGAUCAACAUGAAGUUUGGGUCGUGGGGAACGUUGGAAGUUUACGUUGGAAGUUUACAUAGGAAUGGGUCUUCAGGAGUUACGCAUUUUAUGUCAUUUUCUUUCCGUUAGUGUUGUCUGUUAUAUGCUAUGUUUUAUGUGUUUAAGUUCCGGUUAUUAAGCUACUAGUUUCCCUUCAUUUUUGACAUUAUUGUAAUUGGCUUUGCUUAUUUAAAGCAGCCCAGAAAUUAUCAAGAAGCAGGAGAAAAAUUAUUCAACUAUUAUGGUUCAUUUCUCACCCGAAGAGAAAGUCAUUUACGUUAACAUCUAUCGCAUUUGUUGGGACCUAACAGGGCGCAACUGCUAUCACUACAGCUGGUGAUGUGUUGCUAGUUGCUACAGGGAAUGUGCUGUUGUGGCUGUUGAUGUUGUUGCUUCCUCUUCAAGAAUAUCAACACAAGGUGAGACGAGGGCUUACCCAAAUGAAACCAGAGCAAUCCAAGAAACAAAACUAUCGUGUGGCAUUUCAUCAACCAGGUGGUGGGCAUUAUCAACUGAAAAAAUAUCUCUACUGGAGUUUAUUAUUUUCUAUACAUUGCAUAAACUUUAAAGAUAUUAUGAUCCAUUAACUUUGAACCUUAUUUACACUUGCAUAUGUCUGGGAUUGUGUGUAACAAUUGAUUAACAUUGACUUUUGGGUGUAAAUGUUGUCUAAUUCGUCACUCAGAUAUCAGGUGUGAUUAACCAUGCAUGUCAGAAAUUCUGAAGACUUGAUUGGAUUGAUUUGCUCGUCUGAAAUGUCCAAUCGGCUUGGUCUGUCCAUUCCGUUUGACAUUAUGGAAGAAGGAAAACUUCUCACUUUUGGUGCUAGACGGAGCUUAUCUUUAUCCAGACGGGUUAUAUGUUUGUCCUAAUAAGCCAAAGGGUUUUGAAUUUGAGAAGGACAUGUGGAGGGAAGCUCCCCACAGACAUUAUCAACUGAAAAAGUAUAUCAACUGGAGUUUAUUAUUUUCUAUACAUUGCAUAAGCUUUAAAGAUGUUAUGGUCCAAUAACUUUGAACCUUAUUUUGAAAAUUAAUUUAUAUUCAUUAUUUUUAUAAAUAUAAUAUCAAAUAUAAAUCGAAAAAGUAUAAGUUACAAAUUUCAAAGGGUGUUUAUGAGUGGAUCAAUUUUUGGUCUCAAUUAAAAAAACUAAUUUAAAAUAAUAUAAAUAUAAUAUGUUUUUAGUUUAUUUAUUUAUGGUUAGGGUUAUAAAAUAAAUUGAUAUUUUUUAAUUUUAAAUAAGAAAAACAAAUAAGAUAAAAAAGAAAAAAAAUUAAAGAUCGAACAAUAUAAAAUAUUGAAAGUGAAUGAAUAAAAAUGAAAAAGUUUACAACUCAAAUAAGACCAAUCUAAAAAAUGCAUUACAUAUUAAAAUAUCAUCAUUUUUUUUAUUAAAAUAUACCUAAUGGCAUUUCAUAUUGUUAGAUGGUAAAGGAGAAACUAAAAAAAAUCAUAGAACUAUAGAAUGUAGCACAUGAACUUAGUUUGAUGACCUGAAGUGCACAAGUUGCUUUCAAACCACUGGGACUUGCUUAGGGUUAAAAGUUAAAAAUAGGACCGAUAAUAUUUAAUCAGUAAUAUCAUCUCAAGCCUAUUCCAAAAUAUGGCAACCGGGUAAAAUUAAAAAUUAACUUAAUGCUUAAUAAUUUUUUUUUUAAAAAAAAGAACUUGUUAAAUUUUUUUCUAAAAUCAUUAGAUGUUGUAUAAUUUUUCUAAAAUGAAUGAGAAAAGUUAUAAUGGUGAAGCUCUUGAAAAAGAAGCUUUCAAUUAUGAUCGCACUCCUUCAAAAAAAAAAUCGUUAAAUAUAGAAUAGAAGCAAACUCGUCAAUCAUCACAUAAAAAAACAAUUUCUCCAAAGAGUGCUGACCCUUCAACCCCCAUGAGCUAACCAAGCAGCUCGACCCUAACAUCCUAAGCGAAGCGCAACAGUAGUGAUUCAAGUUUCACAAUCAACACCAAUAAAGACAAGAACAAUUGGCACUCAAAAAAUUUAUUUCCUUUAACUUUUUCCCUUUAAGUUGAAUUUGAUUUUUAAAUGGUGUUAUUUGAUUAAUUAUUUUACAAUAUAUAUAUAUAUAUAUGUUAUAUCUUAAAAAAGGUUAGUAAAUUAUAUUACAAUUAUCAAAUAUAUUACCAUAUAUAAAAUACAACUUAAGAAAUCUUAAGCAUAACACAAAGCACAAGAGCAAGAUAUGUUAAUUUAAGUUACUAAGAGCUUAUUUAGUUGUGUGAUUUAAAAAUAGUUUUCUUAUUUUAAAAAUAAAAAAUUAUUUUAAAAUUUUUUUAACACUAUUUUAAUGUUGUUCUUUGGAAAUAAUUUUUUAAAAUAAAGUAAAAUAGAGAACAAUUUUUAAAGAACAAGUAGGAGUUGUUUCAUCAGUUUUUAAAAAACAAAAAAAUAUAUAAACUCAUUUGAUCAUGUUUUUUUAAAUUUGUUUUUAAAAAUUGUUUUUAAAUUAAAAAAUAAAAAAUAAUUUUUAAAAAUAAGUUUCAGAAAAUAUGACCAAACGAACCCUAAAUGAUUGGAGUUUAUAAUAUUAAAGAGAAAAAAAAGUUAAUUUAAGAGUUUGCAUGUAGGUAGACAUCUAGCUGUAAAACUGGUUUAUUUGAGACACCCAUUUUAUUUAGGGAGAAUUGUGUUUUGGGCCCAACUGGGUCCAAAAAUUAAGAUGUGGUCCAUAUAUUUUACAUAAUUAAGCGCAACACCCAAAGAAAGUCUGAAAAUUGAAAAGAAGGAUAUUGUCCUUCAUUAAUCCCUAAAAUACCCUUAACCCUUACGUAGACAUUUAGUGAGUGUGAAUUUUAAUUUUUUUUGUAUUUUUUUCCCUUUUCUAUUCUCUAUUAAGUAUUACUCAUUUCUAACUUUUUUUUUCUUCCAAUCUAUAUUUCUAUUUUAUGUCAAAUAAAAAGCAAUAAGGUUUUUUUUUUUUUUUUUUUUUUUUCAUUUUUAAAGAUAUUGAAUCUUUUUACUCUUAUUAUAAGCAAGAAUAAAAAUUUUGGGAUUUUUCAUCCAAUUUUUUUAUUUUUUUUAUUUUUUAUCUUUUUGUAUUUAUCUUUUAGUUUAAUUUUCAUUUUUUAUUUUAAAUUUAUAUUACCCUUUCAUUUAUACUUUUCUCUUAUUUUUAAUUAUUUUUUAUUUUCUACAUUAACCAUAUUUUAAAAAAUUUUAAAAUAUACUAUCACUUCACUCUUAUUAUAUAUAUAUAUCCUCCUUUUAGUUUUUAAAUUUUUAAUGUUUUUAUUUUAAAAUUUUUUAAAAGAUAAAUUUAUUGAAAAAAAUAACUAAGAUAUGAAGUUCUAAUAUUAUAUUAAUAAUUUUUCUUAUCCAGAUAGACUAAUGCAAAGUAUUUUGACUCACAACAAGAAAAUUGUUAAUACAAUUUUUUAGUGAAACUUUAAAAAUUAAAUUUCAAAUAAAAUAUAUUAUAUAAAAUUUUAUCUAAAAAUUAUUGAAAGUGGUAUUUAAUUUUUUUUUAUUAACUUUCAAACUUAUCUAAUUUUUUACUUGAAAUGUAAUAGAACAUGUUUACAAAAAAAAUUAGUUUUUCAUUUUUUAAAUAAAUGACUAUAAAUAUAUUAAAAGAAUUAAAGAUAAUUUUAGUAAAAAAUUUAAUAAAUAUGAUUAUAAUUUUAAAUAUAGAUUCAUUUGGAUAAAAUUUCACAAAAAAAAAAAUAGUGAAAAGAAAGAACAUUGCUAAAACUACAAAAACAAAAUAUGAAAUUACAAAAUUUUGAUGAUGAAAUUUAAAAAUAAAAUUUGAAACAAUUCUUGAGUGAGAGAAUUUGAGUGCGGAAAAAUCCUUGAGUGGAAAAAAAUAGAAAAGUUUUUCAAAAUCACUUGAAAUUCUUAACAAAAAGUAGUCUUGUACAGCUGGUGUAAUACCUUUGUACAAUAACUCAAACUUCAUAUAUCAUCUCAUUAAUAUCUAACAAUAAGUCGGUUAACCAUGUUUGCAUUGGUUUUGUUUUAAAAAAGAAGAAAAUUGUUGUAUAAUUUUAUUUUACAAUCAUCAUAAGUGAGGUACCUAUUUAAAUGACCAUAUACAAGUUAGAUAAAGUGUAUGAGAUGAAUAUGUGCUUAAUCAAUGUGUGUAAGGAAUGUCAUCUAUCCUCAGUUAGGGGAAAUAAACAAACAGGUUUUUUAGAAUCACUUAAAAUCCUUUACAAAUAAUAGUCUUGUACCCUUGUACAGUUAGUAUAUUUAUCAUGUACACUUAGUGUAAAUACCUUGUACAGUGACUCAAAUUCCAUAUACCCCCUACUCAAUGUGUAACCAUAGGUAGAUUAACCAUAUUUUCAUUGGUUUGGUUCAAAAAAUAGUGGAAGAUGGAAAAAUAAAAUUUUCUCUCAAACAUCAUUCGUGGGAUAAGUAUUCGAAUUGUCAUAUGCGAGUUAAAUAAAGUGCAUAAGAUGAGUGUGUGAUAGAGGAAUGUGUACCUUGAGAGUGUGCAAUCCUUAGAUGACAAGACAAAAAAAAAAAAGUUGUCCAAAAUUGAUUGAAAUCUUUCACAAAGGAUAGUCUUGUAUACCCCUUGUAUAGUUAGAACAUUUACCAGUAUAGUUAGUAUAACACCCUUGUACAAUGGUGCAAAUUUCAUCCAUAUGCAUACAUUAUGUGCUACAUAUGAUGUGUGAACCAUGUUUCCAAUGGUUUGAUUUAAAAAAUGAUAUAAAACAUAAAAACAAAAUUUUUCCCUAAAUAUAAUUAUUAAGGUAAAUAUUUGAAUUGUUAUAUGCGAGUUAAAUAAAGUACAUGAAUUAAAAGAAUUUGUGGUAGAAGAGCGUACAAUCCAUAGAUGACAAGAAAAAAAAAAGUUGUUCAAAAUGUACAGUCUUGUACACCUCUUGUACAAUUAGUGUAAUAACCUUGUAUAAUGAUAUAGAUUUCACAUAUAUGCAUAAAUUAUAUCCACAUGAGUGUGUAAACUAUGUUCCCAAUAGUUUGACAUUUAAAAUAAUUAAAACAAAUAAAAUGUUAUUUUAUUUUAUUUUCAAAACUAUGUUAGCUAAUUGUUCUUUUAAAAUAACAAGAUCAUAAUCUAUAUUAUAUAUACCAUGAGGAUAAGGAAUAAAAGACAUUAAUUCAUAUCAAAUAAGCAGAGUAAAUAAAGAUUUAGAAUAAAUUAAGCAAAAUUAAUCAGGCUUUAAAUGGGGUAAGAUAAAUUUUGGUACUCUGAAAAUUAAUUUGAAUCUACAGUCUCAUUUCCUAAUUAAUAUACUGCAAUACACAGAGAGACUUUGACACCAACUUUUCCCAUCAGCAGUUUCAACAACAGUUUGUUAGUCAAAGUAAUGGUAGGGGUUUUUGAAAUCUCCGUUAGCAAUGAAAGUUUAAUGAAAAUUUUAUAUUGAAUUAAAGUGUGAACGCAUUUAUUGCUAACAUUAAAAUAAUAUAGACAUUUCCAAAUACUUAAUAUUUUAAUAUAAAAUUUUCAAACACUCAUUAAAAUAAUAUAAAAGGUUUCAGACAAUUAUUAUUUUAAUAUAUAUUUAACUUAAGGUUCUGUGCUUAUAGUGUGAAACCAUUUAAUGUAUAAAAAUUAAGUUUUUGAAAUCGGAUAUCUCAAAAAUUCAGGUAAUAAAAUUCAAAAAUUUUUAAAACGUCACUUCGUGUCAAGGUAAUACCCCCCUUCUGACCAGACAGAGUCUCCCUAACAUGCCAAUUUUCAGGCAAAAACGGGUUUAAGGUUAAGGGUUAAGACUAAAGACUCUAGUUUUAAAACAUGAUUUUACACCCAAAAUUUUCUAAAUAACCCGAUUUUUUUUUUUUAUGUUGAUGAGAACAUUAUAUAAAAAGGAUCCACAUAUAUUACAUAUAUUAAAUAGUAAAGAAAACUUAAAAAUAAUUCAAAUAAUUUUCUUUUCCAUACUUUACCUUUUUACCCCUUUUACCCCUUAAGGGUAAGAAAAAUACAUAAUAAAAUAAAUUCUAAAUGAAAGCAAAAAUUUAACAGAAAAUUAAUUCUUACUUUCUUAUUGAUUGCUGAUAAAUGUACAAAACACAAAUUAUUAAAAAAUAAAACCGAUAAAUAUAUGCACUUAGGAAUAAUUUUAAUAGGAAUAAUAGGACUUCAUCGUAAAGAAAUUGGAGCACUUAUAAAUAUUAACCUUUUAGAUACUAGAAACAAUAUAGUAAGACGAGCUCUUUUAGCUAGUGCAGAAGUUAAUAUGAACCAAAAUUAUGCAGUUAUUGAUUGUAUACCUCAAUUUUGUAUAGAUCUUAAGGAAUUCACAGAAAAAAUAAAAAUAACUGUAAAUACUAAAGGUUAUGAUAUGGAAUUAGGAAGUAAAAACCUUAGCAUAGCUAUAGGAUUUAUAGGAAAAACUACUAACGCUUUAAGUUUAAAAUGUAUAAUGGAAUUCGAUGAUAUAGUAAAAACCUUUGGAAGUAAGACAGUAAAUAUGAUAGAAGCAAAACCUGUAAAUAUAGACUAUUUACUAGGACGAGAGUGGGAAUUACCUUAAAUAAAUAAACCAAUAAUAAAAUAUCCAACAUCCAGUAGCUUAUAUGAAAACCAAGAUGGAAGUGCAAGUAUAACCUUUGGAAAUUAUAAAACUGUAAAUGUAGAGGUAGAGUCAGAUAGUGAGAUAGAAACUGUGAAUGUUAUAUAAGAAGAUAUUUUACUAAACAUUGAGACAGUAGAAAACCUAUACAAAAUCUUAGAGUUAGUAAAUAUAAUGUUAGAGGAAUUUAGUAAUCCAACAUUACUAGACGAACAAGUGGAUCAAGAAAACUUUGUUAAUAUAAUGUGUAAAAACUAUACAAAUGACCAAAUAAUAGAACAACUCUAUAAAACCAAUUUAAUCAAAAAAACUUAUAGAUAUAGAAAUGAUAAAUCAAUUUACUAUUCAACCAAAAGUUAACAUCUCAAACGAAUCAAUAAAUACAAUAAAUGAAGAAAAGGAAUUUGUAAAUGUAAGAAGUGAAAUAGUAAAAUAUAAUAAGCCGUAUAGCAAGCCAAAAGGACCUCAAUGGAAAACUAAAACAGAACCUUAUAGUUUUUUGCAACCAGUAUAUAAUUCUUUGCAACCUGUAUUAUUAGAUAUAGAUAGUGCGCAAGAUCUUAGAAAAACCAUAGAAAAUUGGAAGCAAUCUUUAAAUUCAGCAGGUGUGGUAGUAUCCUUUGAAAACCAACAAGAAAUUUACGAAUUUUGUAAAAACACCCUUAGAGGAACUGUACUACAAUUUUUUAGAAACAUGGAACAAGAAAACAACAGUUAUUUUCAAGAAGUUAGAAAUAAUUUUAGCAUAUCUGUAUUUACAAAUCUAAUAAAACUUUAUUUUUUGGGAACAACACAAGAAGAUGUAAAAGAACCUGCAAUAUACUUUCAUAAGUUAGAACAAUUGAAAUUAUGUAACCUUUCAUAUAUAAGGGAAUAUGAACAAAAAUUUAGGAAAUAUGCAAUCCUUGCUAGAGUAGACAGAACCCCUGAAUAUUUAAAUAAAUAUAUAUUAAAAAUACAAGGAUCUGUAGGACUUAGACUAUGGAAUGAAUUUACAACUUCCGAGUAUAAAAAUUCUCCUUAUAUAGGUGCUAGAAUAGAAUUUGUAAAAAAUUGGUUAGAAAGAGAAUGUGUAAGCAUAGGAGAAAGAAGUCAAAUAAAGAAACAAGACAUAAAUCAACAACUUUGUAGAAAAUUACAUAUAGGAGAAAACCUAGAUAUAGGAUGUAGAGAAUAUAAGUUUAGAAAACCUAAGAGAUAUAAUAAAUUUUUAAGAAGAAAGUCAAGAACCUUUUAUAAAAAAACGACCAUAUUAGACAAAAUAUAAAAAACCUGGAAAGUUUUGGAUAAAAAGAAAAAGAACCUCAGAAAGAAAAAGACAGUGUAAAUGUUAUUUGUGUGGUCAGGAAGGCCAUAUAAGACUUGAAUGUCCUGAACUUAAAAAACUAUUAAAUGAACGAAAUAUAAAAACCCAAGUAAAAAUAAACCUAAUAAAUGAGUAUCAGCUAGAUAGUGAAGAAGAAGAACUUAUCAAUGAAUUAGACUUUGAAAGUGAAAAUUCAAGUGUAUAUAGUAUAGAAGAUAGUGAAAAUGAAAAAGAAGAAAUUUGUAUGAUUAUUGAAAAAGAGGAAAAUCAAGCUAAGAAAACCCCUUUAAAUUUAGAAAACCUUGUACAACCUUUAGAAAGUAAAAUAAAACCUUAUAAUAUAUGGAAAGAUUUACAAAUAAUAAUCAAAGGAAAAUUUUCAAAAGAAGAAGAAGAUAGUUGUUCAAAACCUAAGGACACAGAAGAACCAAAAAGUCCUGUAAAAGAACCAAUGAAUCCUGAAAAAAUAACCAUACAAACAAUAGAACAAGUAAAUAUGGCAAAUAAAGUUAAAUCUAUUAUUUUUCCAACAACAAUUAAAUUAAAAACCAUAGAAUUAAAGGUAGACGCAAUGUUAGAUACUGGAGCCAGUAAAAACCUUUUAUUUGAAACCCUAGUCCCUCAAGAAGAUCAACAAACAUUAGUUCAACCAGUAGAGUUAAUCCAAUACAAUCAACAAAAACUAAUACUAACCAAGUAUAUUUCAAACGUACCAAUCAUAAUUAAUAACAUAACCUUAGUAUUGCCCCAAACUUAUCUUGUACCUACUAUAAGUUUAUAUCCUUUUAUUUUAGGUUUAAAUUUUGUACAUUCUUUACAAGGAGGGAUAACAAUACAAAAUAACCAAGUUAGUUUUCAUCCUAAAACCACAACAAUUGUUUAUACAAACAUGGAAAAUGUAUUAAAUAAAAAUCAGAAUGUAACAUCUCAUCAAAUUAGCAAAAUGGAGGCACAAAAGGAUAACAUAAUUAAUGACUACUCAGAACAAUUAAGAAAUGCAAAUAGAUUAAAAAACCUUAUAUUAGAAGCAGAAAAAAUAGGAAUUAUAGGGGAAGACCCACAAAAACAUUGGAAUAAAAAUAAGAAAACCUGUAAAAUACCAAUUUAAAACCCAGAUUUAACAAUAAAAACGGCAGAUAUAGCAUGUAAUCUUAAGAUACAAAGGAAUUCAAAAUUCAAAUAGAAGAACUAUUACAUAAUAAGCUCAUAAAACCAAGUUUCAGUCCCCAUAGAUCCUCAGCUUUUUUAGUUAGAAACCAUAAUGAAGAAAAACGAGAAAAAGUUAGGAUGGUUAUUAAUUAUAAAAGAUUGAAUGAUAAUACAUAUGAUGAUGCCUAUAAAAUUCAAAAUAAAGAUUCUUUAAUUAAUUCUAUUCAAGGAUGUAAAUAUUUUUCUCAAUUAGACUGUAAAAGUGGAUUUUGGCAAAUUAGAUUAGAAGAAGAUAGUAAACCAUGGACAACGUUUUCAUGUCCUUGUGGAUUAUAUGAAUGGAAUGUAAUGUCAUUUGAACUAAAAAAUGUUCCACAGAUAUUCCGACGAAUGAUGAAUAAUAUUUUUGAAAAAUAUUCUUUUGUUCUUGUAUAUAUUGAUGAUAUUCUUGUCUUUUCAUAUACUCUUCAGGAACACAUAAAGCAUUUAGAAUUGAUUUUUGAAAAACUAGUUAGUCAUGGAUUAAUAGUAAGUAAAAAGAAAUUGAAAUUAUUUAAGACUCAAAUAGAAUUUUUAGGAUUAGAAUUAGAGGAUGGACAAAUAAAAUUACAAGAACAUAUAGUACAAAAAAUAAAUAAUUUUCCAGACAAACUCGAAGACUUAAAAACCUUUCAAAGUUUUUUAGGAUUAUUAAAUUAUGCUAGGCCAUAUAUUAAAAACCUUAGUAGAUUAGUUGGACCCCUUUAUAGUAAAACAAAAAACACAGGGUAGAGAUAUUUUAACUAAGAAGAUAUUAAACUUAUACAGAAAAUAAAAGAACUUGUGAAACAUCUCCCAACCUUACAUUUACCCUUAGAAAAUGAAUAUAAAAUAGUUCAAACUGAUGCUAGUCAAACAGGAUGGGGAGGUAUACUUUUAGCAAUAACUAAUAUAGGAGAAGAAAAACUUUGUAGAUAUUGUAGUGGAACUUUUAAUGAUUAUCAAAAGAACCUUAGUUCUACAUACUUAGAAAUUAAAGCAAUAAUAUUAGUCUUAGAAAAAUUUCAAUUAUUUUUGAACCAAGAACAAUUUACUUUAAGAACCGAUUGUGAGAAUAUUAAAAAAUUCUUUGAAAACAAAAAUUCUUCAAAACUGUCCACCAAAAGAUGGAUAAAGUUUCAAAACUCUUUAAUUGAUUUCAAACCUAAAUUUGAACAUAUUAAAGGAAAAGAUAAUAUACUAGCAGACUAGUUAAGUAGACAAAUAAUUAAUAAUGUUGAUGAUACUAAUGAUUGAUUUCAUGAUUACAAGAACAUGGCUCAAAGAAAACCUACGAAAGCUAGAACCUUUCAAUAUGGAACCAUUUGUCUGAACGAAGUGUUAAAUCCAAAUAUGAGGUUUAACUCUUUAUUUUCUCAAAACCUUUUUGAAGAACAUAAGGUUAUUGUAGAUAAUUUUUUGUCUCUAAAACCACAAAGUUUUUCGAACCAAAAUUUAGAAUACGCUUAUGGAAAAACAGUGUUAGCUUUAGCCCAACAUUUACAAAACCUUCAAAACCAACUGAUUGCUUUAGAAACCCAAAAAUUCCAAAACCUCAAAAUCCAAGAAAAUCAAGAAAAACUGAUAGAAUAUUUGAAAACCAGUACAGUGUCAACCAAUCAAACCAGUUGUUCGAACAAUCAACUUGAAGUAAUUAGUUUAAUUAAGAAAUCAACUCUUCUGAUUGAACAAUAUGAAAAGCUUGUUGUUAAAAACAUAAUUGGAGUUGAUAACUACUCUUUCGUCAAAACCUUUUUCCUACAAAAUCAAUAUAACAAAGUAUUUAAAAAUCAAGAACUUUUGUAUAAACAUUUUAGAACCAAAAAUGCCGGGAUAAAAACAGGGUAUAUGGCAUAUCACGACCCUGAAUUUUUCUUUGUUAUAUAUUUAGCUUAUGUAAAUAUGUCUGUUAUAAAUAUAGAAAAUUUUGAUUUAGUACCACAACUCAUGGAUCAGGGAAUUUUAAAAAAUGUUUUUAUAAACCAUAUAUCUCAAAUCCCUAAAAAUUUCCUAGAAAAAUUGAAAGAUAUUUUAACUUAUUUUUUUAAAACCGAAAAAUAUAUAGAUAUUUCUUUUGAAACCAUUUCACCUUUAUUUCAACCCGAUGGAUCAGUAGUACCAGCCUAUCAUCAUGUAUAUAUAAAACAUAAUAAAGAACAACUCAUCCCUCGAUAAGAACCAGAAUGGGAAAUGAUCCGUUUAGAUGAAUUUCCAGAAUUUUUUACUCACUUUAGAGCUUUUCAAAUCUAUGAUCUUAGACCAACCCGGAAUAAAUUAUUUCAUCUCAUUGGUUAAACAAAAACCAUGUCUAUAUGGAGAGUAAAACCUUUAGAACACAUUAUUGUUCCAAAACCUUUUAUUACUUUUGAAGAACAAGAUUUUAUAACCAAACUCAGUGUAGAUAUACCGGAACCAUCUUCCUACCUCAGCGAUGACGCAUUAUUUUGGGACAACCUGGACGAUGAAAGUUAUCAUAAUUUACAAAAUGCAAUGGAAGGGUGAUGUUAGCAAUGACGACAUUGAGGCAGUAAAUGCGUCUUCAACUACAAAAAUUCAAUGUGGCAGUACAAGUUCAGAAGCAGUAAAGACAUCUACAGGCCACGUAUUAUGCAUGUGAUAAAAAGAGAGAAGAAAAGGACAAGAAAAAAAGACAAGAAGGAAGAGAAGAACAGGUGAAUAAACAAAAGUCAAAAGUCUCAGAAGUCUUUUAUCAUCUUUGUAUUUAUUUUAUACCAAACCUCUAAACACCGUAAAUAUUUUUCCUACCGUCCAACCACUUGAAUUUAAUUCUCACCUGUAUUGUCACCUGUCACUUGUAAAUACUUUGCCUAUAAAUUAGUGGUAGUAAAAGAAAAGAAGUGUGCUCGAGAAAGUGUGUCCGAAGGUGUGUGCAACAUAGUGUAAAGUUGUCUGUGAAAGAAAACUGUAUCUUCAACCUUGUACAUUUAUCAUCAAUCAAUAAGAAAGUAAGAAUUAAUUUUCUGUUAAAUUUUUGCUUUCAUUUAGAAUAUAUUUUAUUAUGUAUUUUUCUUACCCUUAGAAAGUAUUUUUUUAAAUAGUUUUUUAACAAUAUUUUUCUUUAGUUAUAAUUUAAAAUAGAAAAUAAUGCUAAUUUUCAAUUAGUUAUAAAUAAAAUAAAAUUUAAAAACAAUGAAAAAUCUAAAUUAUUAAAAUAGAAUUAUUAUAGUUGCAUGAAUAGUGGUGCAAUAAAGACCAAAAAAGCUUAUGUGAAAGAUCAUUGGGUGUUUUAGUCCAUUAUUAUUUUAUAUCCUUAAAAGGUAAUAUAUGGAAAUUUAAAGGGCAUAUUGGUCUCUUAACAUCUUAUAUCAUUUCCAUUAAUUAUGUAAGUUAUAUGGACCAAAUGUUAAUUUUUGAACUCAAUUGGACUCAAAACACAAUUGUCCCUUUUAUUUAUACAUUCUUCUGGCAUUGACCACGUGUUUAGGAUGUGUUGCACUAAAAUCUCAUGAUAAACUUGCAGUUCAAAAUCACAAACUAGAUGUAUGUAUUAGAAACAGACCAUAUUGGGUCAUGCACAUUCUUCGUCAUUUUCUAUUUCUUAGCAACAUAUAUGACCAAAUGAAAUUAUUAUACCCUAAUUAUAUUUUUUUAACUAGGUGAUAAAGAUAAUUAAAAUAUUAUUAGAAAAAACAAUCAUAUAGGUUUAAAUAGAAUUUCACACUUAGCCGUAUGAUAACAAAUUUUGUCAAUUAAAUAAAUACAACUUAAAAUAACAAAUUAAAUAAAAAAAAUGAAUAGUUCAAUUUUAAAAUUUUUACUCCUACAAAUUCACUAAUGAUUAAAAAUAUUGCAUUUAAAAAAAAAAAAACAAAUCACUUUUUGCUUUCACAGUCUAUAUGACAUUCCAACCUUAGAUCCCAUAGUUUGAGUAAGUUUGAGGCUAGAUUUGAGACAACCCAGUGAUACUACUUCGGUUAGUUCACACAAAUUCAAUAGAUUAUCACAUAACUAGUGCAUGCAUUAUCUUGCCUAGAAUAAUAUCUUAAUAUAACUUGGGCAAAAUCAGAGAGAAGUGGUGUUUAUUGUAGUGAGAAAUCAGAGGGAAAUCAUUGAAUGAUUUAUAGGUUGUGAAAUUAGAGAGAAAAAGAUGAGCUUUGCUGGUUUGAAAUCUAGAGUCUCUGAAGACAAGCAAAGAGCAAGAUUAUGAGAAAGGGUAACUUGAGCCUCAAAAAUAUGUAAAUAUAUAAAUUUGGCAUCUAUGAAAUCGGUCAGGCCAUAAUCAACAUGUACAGUCACAACUUUUUGUUGAGACAUGUGCCUCUCAGAACAUUUGAAGUUAAGAUGUUUGUCUUCAAUUUGAUUGCUCUUUGUGACUUUGAGAUUCUCAUUCCUUUUGAUGUAAAAAAAAGAAAAAAAAAAAAAAAGAAUUAAAAGAUGUAGGGUAAAAUGUUAAAUAGUGUGAGUUUGAAUUAAUAAAGUUUUAAUCAAAAUUGGAAAUUAAGGUGAAGUAUCUAAUUUGCCUUGAUCACAAAGGAAGCAAAGAUUGACCAAUCAGAGCUUUGAGUCUUUCACUAAUCAUAUGAUGGUUUCACUUUUAAUUGUUUGAGAUAUUCCAUAUAGAUAUCCAUCAAACCUAAGGAUAAGACAUUAAAUUGUGUAAUUUUUGUAUAAUGAACUAGUUCACAAAAUGUUUAAUACUUCAAAAGUGAUAACUUACGAAGUAAAGAAUCAAUCCCAACAACUUUAGUUAGCAAAAUAAUGUCGUAAUUCUAUUUUUAACUCAUUUGAAAUACUUCUCAAAACAAUAUUCCGAAGGACAAAAAAAAUUGAAUUUAUAAUGUAGUUUCCUACAUAAUUUGAUUUCUUAUUCUUGCUUCGAGAAUCUAUCUCUUUUUUACACCAACAAAUAUGUAUAGUACAAAAUAAAAUAAAGUGUGAGGCACCGCUUUAAUCAGAAUAAUUAAUUGAAAUGAAAUGUUUGACUUGCCUUGAUUAAUAAGGACUUUCAUGGCUGACCUGAUAGAGGUUGGGCUCUUAAUGUCAUCCAUUCAGCAAUGUAUCAUACCCUACCAAAGCUUGAUCAAGUCUAAGGCUAAGCUGUAAUUGGUUUAGCUAGGAAAAAAAAAGAGAAGAAAAACGAGAUCAUUAGAAAGAAUUUUCAGUCCCUUUAAAUCACUUAGCCAUAUAAUAAAGGAUCGUAGCUCACAAAAAACUUGAGAUAAAUGUUUAGUAUCUUCUCCAGCAUAUCCAUUCAACAAAUUUGCAAAAAAGCUCCAACCGGUUGUGCAUAUGGUCCUCUUCAUCAUCUUGGGCAUCAACAACAUUACUGUCAAUAUUCUGUGUCCAUUGGAGAAUCGCUAUGCUCAGUGCACUGUGUACAGUCAUAGCUUGUUUGUGCAUUAGAAUUAGCAUCUUCUGCUGCUGAUCUGGUAUCACAACUUCUCUGCUCAUCAUUGUACUCUAUCAUUGUCUGAUGGUCGCGCUUGGUCGCUUCUGGGUUGUCACAGCUUCUCUGAGCAUCAGUACUGGUAUCUUCUGGGAUGUUUCUGUUGAUAACAUCACCUGUAUAUAUAAGAUGGAACCCCCACUCUUUCACUUCGACUGGUGUACCGUCAAAGCUACGAAAUGAAGCCUUCAAACGUCUCCAUUCGUUUGACCAAUACUGGUUGUUAAUAGCAACCUUGGGAUAACAAGUCACACACAUUUGACUUGAUUCACCACAAAUUCGGCAGCUAUAAAACAGGACAUCAUCCACGUCACAGCAUUCAGAUUGAUCACCACAGAUAUUGAGUUCGCAAUUCAACCCAUCACAAGCAAUAGGAGUAAAAACAGAGUAGAAAGCAAAUCCUAAGAAGUCAUUAUUUCUGUACCAAUCCAUAGGAAGCUCUAUUGUUAUUUGAGACCCUUUUUUUUGCUGGCUUGUCCACUCUGGAAUUCCAUUAUUUCCCGAAAUUACAACUCUGAUUGCCUUAAUCCAAUAGAAGCCGCAUUCAAAUUCCUGCACAGAAGUACAGUGUUAAUACUCUGUGUUCAUAAGGAAAAAGGGCUGAAUGUUAUGAAAAUCAUACCUCAAUUGUUGAUUUAAAGCAUUUGAACAGAGAAAAACCAAGUAGACUUGAUGGACUUGAUAAAGUUUCUAAGCAUGUGCAACUGUGGACUUCUAGAACUCGUAAACUUGGCAGAAGCUCUGGAACUUGUAGAAGCCUCUGGCAGUGACUCAAGUCAAGGACUCUCAGUUUGGAAAGUUGAAUGAUGCCUGCAAGUAUGCUACUAAAACAGUCCAUGCUUAGAUUUAGACCUGAAGCGUGCAAACACUCUAAACAUUGCAAACUCCUCACGUUCUCGGGAAAUUCCUCAAGUUUUGUACAGAAACUGACAUCUAGAAUUUUGAGAGAACUCAAAUUACAAAUGGUCUCUGGAAGACUCACAAGGUUGGUGCAAUCUGCAAGAUUCAAACAUUGAAGCCCUCUUAAAUAUUGAAUUGACGCUGGUAGUUCUUCUAUAGCAGUUCCAUCUAAAUGAAGCUUUCUUAAAUUUUCCACAUCCUCAAGGAUUUCUGGAAAGCUCCUUAAUCAUGAACAGCCUGAGCAGUCGAGAGUUGUAAGGGAUUUCAACUCACAUAUGCUACUGGGAAGAUGCUCAAGGUUUUUGCAUUCUCGCAAGCACAAGCUAUCAAGUUCUAAGGGACACUCAAUAGUGGGUAGUUCAUUGAUGGCAUUUCCCUUUAAACAAAGCUUCCGUCUGGAUUGCACAUCCUCUUAACAUUCCUGGCAAAUGGUGGGUAUCAUUGCUUUACCAUUGUUCUUUUCAUGAUCAUGGGCAUAUAUAAGAUGGAUCCCACACUCUUCCACUUUCAUUGCUUUACCACAUAAGAAGCCACAAAAUGAAGCGGUCAACUGCCUCCACCUCCGUUUAUUUGAGUGAUACUUCUCAAUCUCCACCUUGGGAUAAUAAAUCAUCCACAUAUUUGGUACAACAUCAUAGCAGUGAAACGUGGGAUAAAACCGGAGUUCAUCCACAAACUGAGAUUCAUGAGCACGCAAAGUCAAACCACACUUGAGGGAAGUUGCAUAAUUCUCCAGUGUCUCCUCAGAUUCAUUAUCAAGUGGAUCAUAGAGAGAGUACAAAACAAAACCCAACAAGUCGUUAUUUUUAUACCAAUUUUCAGGAAGCUCUGCUACCACUUUAGCUCCCUUUUUGUGAUGGCUUAUCCAUUUUGGAAUUCCACAACUUCCUGAAAUAAUAAGAUGUACUCGGGCAAAACGGUUUUCUCUAGGAUAAAUCCUGCAUUCAAAAUCCUGCACAAAAUUUAAUUAACGCGUAAAUCCCCAUGUCUCCAUAGAAAAAGUUUUGUUCUAUGAAUAUCAUACCUGAAUCAAUGAUUUGAAGCAGUUGAAUAGAGAAGACCAGAGUAGACCGGAAGAAGUUUCCAGCCGUGUGCACUCAUGUACAUCUAAGACACGCAAACUGGAUGGAAGCGCUGGAAUUUGUCGAAGCUCUUGACAGUGACCCAAGUCAAGGAGUCUCAGCAUAGAAAGUUGAUUGACCCCAGAAGGUAUGCUCCUAAAAAGAUUCCCGGUUAGAAGUAAUUGUCGCAGAGAUGAUAGGUGGCAAAUUUCAGUGGGGAUUCCUCCUUCAUCUAUACUGCAGAAAGAUAGAUCUAACACUUCCAACGAGUACAAGCAGCAAAUAUCACUCAGGAUUUCUCCUUGUAUUAGCUUUGACCCAGUUAGAAUUAAAUUCUUUAAGGAGCAUAAACCCGACAAAGAAAGCAAUUGGCAACAUGUUGAAUUUAAGCCACAAGCACGGAGAUGCUUCAAGCUUUGCAGCCUCCCUAGGUUUUGUGGCAAUUUGUGGAGUUUUGAACAGUAACUGACAUUGAGAACUUCAAGAAAGCAUAAAUUACAAAUGCUUUCUGGAAGAGUCACAAGGUUUUCGCAGCGGUCCAGAUUCAAAACUUCAAGCCUAUUCAAAUGUUCGAUUGAUGAUGGUAGCUCUUUUAUAGCCGUUUCGUUCAAGUGAAGCUCCCUUAAGUUUUCCAUAUUCUCCAAGAUUUCUGGAAAGUACUGUAAUUGUGAACAGUGAGAGCAAAAGAGAGAUUUUAGGGAUUUGAACUCCCAAAUGCUUGUUGGCAGACUCUCAAGGUUUUUGCACUCUCGCAAACAUAAGGUAUCAAAUUCAGAGGCAUGCUCAAUGGGUAGUAGGCUGAUUGUCUGACCCUUUAAACAAAGCUUUCGGUGUUCCACGUUCCUCUGACAAUCCAAGCAUCUAGCAUCCACAUCCUCAGUCUGUACUACUAUUGGAUCUUGGGAGUAUAUAGGUUGGAGCCCACACUUGAGCACCUUAAAAUGACUCUGAGGGUCCUUAAAUGUAGCCGCAAGAUACAUGAAUGGAUUGGUGGGACCGCUCUCCAGAAUAGCAGCCUUGGGAUAGAAUAUCACCCACAUUUGUUCUGAUACACCUCCAUUAUGGUAGCAUUUACAAGUAGAGCGAAAACUGAGAUGUCGCACACACAGGGAAGAAGAUCCAUAUCCUUCACUCAAUGACAGUUGACAUUGUAACUCAGUGGAGAUUGAAGAUUCAGCUUCAAGUAAAUCAUCAGAUUCAUUCUCCAAUGUAUGUGCAAAAUCAUUUUCUGGUAUAUCCUCACAUUCAUCGAGUGGAGCAUAAACACAGCAUAUAGCAAUCCCCAAGAAGUCAUCAUUUUCAUAACAAUUCUGAGGAAGCUCCAUUGUGAUUCGAUAUCCCUCUCUCUGAUUCCUUAUCCACUUGGGAAUUCCACUGCUUCCCGGAACAACAAUACAGAUUCCAUCGCCAAUGUAGUCGGAAUUAGGGAGAAAUACUCCAUUUGAACUCUUCUCGUGUUUCAAAUCCUGCACAAAUGGACAAUGUAAAUCUAGUGGGUCUGUGUCAUUAUGUGAGUUUUUAUGAGAGAGUUUGUUAUCAGUUUUCGAUAAAUUGAUUCCCAGUUUUAACUUUCUUUGAUCUAUGCUCCUGAAUCUACUUAAUAUCCCUUUUAGAUGAUGGAUAAUCAAUGAACAUGAAAGUGAGUGACAAGAUUAAGUGUGAAAACUGGAAGUGAGGGGAAACUGAAACUGGAAAGUGAGUAGAAUAAGCAGAUCUCUUCUUCACUUGCAGUAGCUCCUUCUCCAUUCAGAUUCAGAGAUCUUAGAAUUGUAGCUUCAACUUAACUCUCAGAAUCUUAAAGACAAAGUUCGCUCAAGUUUCAAAAACUCAUAGAAAAAUUUCGCCUCAUGUUUCUCUUAAUCCCAUGAGGCGAGAGACAUGCAGCACAUGCUUAUUGGCUUUUUUCCAUGCAAGUUUCAAGGUGGAGCAUCUAAUGAACUAAAACAUUCCUUCAAAUCCUAGUGGAAAUUCACACUAGAAAUUUCAGAAUUUGCUAAAGAAAGGUUUAAUUCAUUUUAUCCAUGAAUAAAAAAUCAUGUGAGGGCAUUUUAACUUCCUAAUAAUUAUUAUAUUAAACUAUAAUUCUCAUUAUUUAAACUCGUGAUCUGUAACUUUAUCAUCACAUUUUGAAGAGACUUUCGUCAUCUCUUCCAUGAAUUAAUUGAUGUUUAAGGAGGUAUAAUAAACUUUUAAUUGAAUUUAACAUUAUUUCUAUCCUUAUACUCAUCUUAAACUCUAAUUUUUUUUUUUUACUCUUAUCAAAAAAAAUAAAAACUUAACAGAAAAAAAAAAUUUCAAUUACUCCGUGUUCACGAGGAAAAAUGGCUGAAUGUUAUGAAAAUCAUACCUCAAUUGUUGAUUUAAAGCAUUUGAACAGAGAAACACCAAGUAGACUUGAUGGACUUGAUAAAGUUUCCAAGCAUGUGCAACUGUGGACAUCUAGAACUCGUAAACUUGGCGUAAGCUCUGGAACUUGUAGAGGCCCCUGGCAGUGACUCAAUUCAACGACUCUCAGUUUAGAAAGUUGAAUGAUGCCUGCAAGUAUGCUACUAAAACAGUCCAUGCUUAGAUUUAGACCUGAAGCAUGCAAACACUCUAAACAUUGCAAACUCCUCAGGUUCUUGGGAAAUUCCUCAAGUUUUGUACAGAAACUGACAUCUAGAAUUUUAAGAGAACUCAAAUUACAAAUGGUCUCUGGAAGACUCACAAGGUUGGUGCAAUCUGCAAGAUUCAAACAUUGAAGCCCUCUUAAAUAUUGAAUUGAUGCUGGUAGUUCUUUUAUAGCAGUUCCAUCUAAAUGAAGAUUUCUUAAAUUUUCCACAUCCUCAAGGAUUUCUGGAAAGCUCCUUAAUCGUGAACAGCCUGAGCAGUUGAGAGUUGUAAGGGAUUUCAACUCACAAAUGCUACUGGGAAGACGCUCAAGGUUUUUGCAUUCUCGCAAACAUAAGCUAUCAAAUUCUAAGGGACACUCAAUAGUGGGUAGUUCAUUGAUGGCACUUCCCUUUAAACAAAGCUUCCGUCGGGAUUGCACAUCCGCUUGACAUUUCCGGCAAAUGGUGGGUAUCAUUGCUUUACCAUUGUUCUUUUCAUGAUCAUGGGCAUAUAUAAGAUGGAUCCCACACUCUUCCACUUUCAUUGCUUUACCAUGUGAGAAGCCACAAAAUGAAGCCGUCAACUGCCUCCAUUUAUUUGAGUGAUACUUCUUCUCAAUCACCACCUUUGCAUAAUAAAUCAUCCACAUUUUUGGUACAACAUCAUAGCAGCGAAACGAUGGAUAAAACUGGAGUUCAUCCACAAACUGAGAUUCAUGAGCACGCAAAGUCAAAGAACACUUGAGGUAAGCUGCAUCAUUCUCCAGUGUCUCCUCAGAUUCAUUAUCAAGUGGAUCAUAAAGAGAGUACAAAACAAAACCCAACAAGUCGUUAUUUUUAUACCAAUUUUCAGGAAGCUUUGCUACCACUUUAGCUCCCUUUUUGUGAUGGCUUAUCCAUUUUGGAAUUCCACAACUUCCUGAAAUAAUAAGAUUUACUCGGGCAAAAAGGCUGUCUCUAGGAUAAAUCCUGCAUUCAAAAUCCUGCACAAAAUUUAAUUAACACGUAAAUCCCCAUGUCUCCAUAGAAAAAGUUUUGUUCUAUGAAUAUCAUACCUGAAUCAAUGAUUUGAAGCAGUUGAAUAGAGAAGACCAGAGUAGACCCGAAGAAGUUUCCAGCCAUGGGCACUCAUGUACAUCUAAGACACGCAAACUGGAUGGAAGCGCUGGAAUUUGUCGAAGCUCUUGACAGUGACCCAAGUUAAGGAUUCUCAGCAUAGAAAGUUGAUUGACCCCAGAAGGUAUGCUCCUAAAAAGAUUCCCACUUAGAUGUAAAUGUUGCAGAGAUGAUAGGUGGCAAAUUUCAGUGGGGAUUCCUCCUUCAUCUAUUCUGCAGAAAGAUAGAUCUAACACUUCCAACGAGUACAAGCAGCAAAUAUCACUCAGGACUACUCCUUGCAUUAGCUUUGACCCAGGUAGAAUUAAAUUCUUUAAGGAGCAUAAACCCAACAAAGAAACCAAUUGGCAACAUGUUGAAUUUAAGCCACAAGCACAGAGAUGCUUCAAGCUUUGCAGCCUCCCCAGGUUUUGUGGCAAUUUGUGGAGUUUUGAACAGUAACUGACAUCGAGAACUUCAAGAAAGCAUAAAUUACAAAUGCUUUCUGGAAGAGUCACAAGUUUUUUGCAGCCCUCCAGAUUCAAAACUUCAAGCCUAUUCAAAUGUUCGAUUGAUGAUGGUAGCUCUUUUAUAGCCGUUUCAUUCAAGUGAAGCUCCCUUAAGUUUUCCAUAUUCUCCAAGAUUUCUGGAAAGUACUGUAAUUGUGAACAGUGAGAGCAAAAGAGAGAUUUUAGGGAUUUGAACUCCCAAAUGCUUGUUGGCAGACUCUCAAGGUUUUUGCACUCUCGCAAACAUAAGGUAUCAAAUUCAGAGGCAUGCUCAAUGGGUAGUAGGCUGAUUGGCUGACCCUUUAAACAAAGCUUUCGGUGUUCCACGUUCCUCUGACAUUCCAAGCAGCUAGCAUCCACAUCCUCAGUCUGUACUAUUGGGUCUUGGGAGUAUAUAGGUUGGAGCCCACACUUGAGCACCUUAAAAUGAUUGCGAGAGUCUAUAAAUACAGCAUUAAGAUGCAUGAAUCGAUUGGUGUGACAGCUCUCCAGAAUAGCAGCCUUGGGAUAGAAUAUCACCCACAUUUGUCCUGAUACACCUCCAUUAUGGUAGCAUUUACAAGUAGAGCAAAAACUGAGAUGUCGCACACACAGGGAAGAAGAUCCAUAUCCUUCACUCAAUGACAGUUGACAUUGUAACUUAGUGGAGAUUGAAGAUUCAGCUUCAAGUAAAUCAUCAUCUUCAUUUAGGACUUCGUCACCAGAUGGAUUCUCCAAUGUAUGUGCAAAAUAAUUUUCAGGUGUGUCCUCACAUUCAUAGAUUGGAGCAUAAACAGAGCAUAUAGCAAUUCCCAAGAAGUCAUCAUUUUCAUAACAAUUCUGAGGAAGGCCCAUUGUGAUAUGAUAUCCCUCUGUCUGAUUCCUUAUCCACUUGGGAAUUCCACUGCUUCCCGGAACAACAAUACAGAUUCCAUCGCUAAUGUAGUCGGAAUUAGGGAGAAAUACUCCAUUUGAACUCUUCUCGUGUUUCAAAUCCUGCACAAAUGGACAAUGUAAAUCUAGUGGGUCUGUGUCAUUAUGUGAGUUUUUAUGAGAGAGUUUGUUAUCGGUUUUUGAUAAAUUGAUUCCCAGUUUUAACUUUCUUUGAUCUAUGCUCCUGAAUCUACUUAAUAUCCCUUUUAGAUGACGGAUAAUCAAUGAACAUGAAAGUGAGUGACAAGAUUAAGUG